AAUGGCAAACCUGAAUUUCAAUGCUCUCAGAGACUUGCAUAACUCAGCUAACGACCUCCUGCACUCACCAAUAAUCAAGCGAGCGCUUGUUCACCAAGGUCAAGAACAAUGGGUUCAUCAAGUGUCCGAAUCAUCUCUAAGGAUGUUGGAUGUUUGUGGCAUUUCCAGGGACAUUCUUUUACUUGUCAAGGAACAUGUACAAGACCUACAAUUCACUUUGCGCCGUGUAAGCACCGAUGAGGCUGAUAUUGGAACCAAAAUAGCAGUUUACAACCGAUACUCAAAGAAACUAAAGAAAGAGACCCUCAAGUGCUUGCAAUCAUUGAAAGGGAUGAGAAACAAGCCCAUCAUCACUUGUGACAUUGACGACAACCUGACGGUGGUUGUGGAUGUGCUAAGAGAAGUGAGUGCGACUGCCAUAUCUGUGGUGGAGUCGCUGCUUUCCCUCAUUUCUAUUCCUUGGUUGGAAAGAAGGUCAAGUAAAGGGUAUUUGGCAGCCAAGUUCAUGAGAUCGAGUUGGCGGAGAGUUUAUGAUGUAAGCGAUGAAAUGGCAGUUCAAAGCGCGAAUAAAAGAUUGGAGGCAGUGGAAAUAACGAUUGAGGAUCUUGAAGCUGAGAUAGAGUGCAUGUUUAGACGUUUGAUUCAGACUAGAGUUCUACUUCUUAACAUACUUACCAACUAAUUAAUCAACAUAUACACAAUAUAAAUAUACUCUCUCUCUUUUUUUUCUUUUUUUUUUUUCCUCUUUAAUUUCACUGUGAAUUGCCAAACUUCAUGGUUUUUACCUUAUGGAUCUAAUGCUAAUUAGAACUAAAUAGCUAGAUAGGCUGAUUUAGUAAUUGAAUAACCUUAUGCUGUUGUAUUCUUUCAUUCUUUUAAAUAAAUAACCCACUCCUGUGCUUUACAUUUUCAAAGUGAUUGUGUAUUUAAUAGAAAUUGAAACUCAAAGCUGAAAUAAAACUAACUAGGUCAAAAUUCAGUCAUGAUCCCAUUUAAAUCCUUCACAAACAUUUAUUCUCAAUAGUGGUUGCAACCCUGACUUGAAGUUCUACAACUCUUACUCUCUUUCAAAUUCAUCCCUAUUUAAAAUAUAAUAAUUCGUUGUCUAAUUUAAUUUAAAAAUUUUAUAAUAUUUGAUCCAAUUCAAUUCAAUUUUUGUUGCUUUAAACCAAUUCUUUUAAUAAAUUUAUUAAGCUGGAUUCAUUGAUACCGUGUGGAUCUUACAAACAUAUAUAUUUAUAUACGGUUUACGUAUGUUAGUUGCUAACAAAUCAUGCUUUGUUUACAAACAUAUAUAUUUAUAUAUGGUUUACGUAUAUGAGUUGCUUUGCCUACAAAUUUUGAGUUAAAAUGAACUUGGGAGACUAGAAUUUAAUUAAGAAUUAAAAACAUAAAUAUGUUAAGGUGAAUAGAAUCUAAUUUCGAUUUAUCCAAUUAUCAUUCAAAAUUAACUUAAUUUAUUCAAAUUCGCCUUAAAAAAAUGUAACACUAUCAAGCCGGAUCGAAUAGAUUUUAUAUAUUUUUUUACAAUCCCUACUUCUAAAUUACUUAAAUUUGAGUUCAAGAGUAAAACUUGCAACUCUUAGUUUUCUCCCUUCAAGAGUCUCGUUUUAAUUGAGCUAACCAGCAGUGGUUAAUUUAAGCAUAGUGGUAAUGUUUGAUUAAUCAUCUAGAAAUGGAUAAUUGAUUUGCACAUGUUUAGCUAUAUAUCAGGAUUCAGCCCCCCAAAGCAUCCAACAUAAUAAAUUGCUUAUAAAUGUUGACACAGCCUGGUUGGAUACCCAGCCUAAUGCAACAAUUGAUUCUGUACGACUAUGGGAAAUAAAUAAAUAUAGGCGGUGGUUCGCUGUCCCCUAAAAUGCGCAUGCAAUGGGGACGAGGAUGAUCAGGUUUAAUUAUUCUUGUUUCGUAUGCGUAAAUUGGCAGCUUAACAACUAAACAUAAUUGGCUGCCCACCAAUCAAAGCAGGUGAGGGCAGAAAUUUAGGUCGACUGUAUAACUGAAAGACAAAGUACAUCACUCACAAUCAAUACAACUAAUUUCGUAGAUUAAGGUAUAGUUAGAGUUUGUGGGUAUAGAUUUAAAUUUGUAAAUUUGAGCAUAAAAUAUUUUUAAACUUGUAUAUGUGGAGUACUGAUAAAGGUUUUGUAUGCAAAUUUUCAUCAAUCUCUUUAAAUUCUUGGUUUCUAAUGUAACACUAAUGAUAUAAGUAAUAAAUUAAAUUUAUUUAUUUAUAACAUAAAAUUUAAAAAAAAAACUUAUAAAACAUAUCCAAAUAAAAUAUAUCAACAAACUCAGAGUUAUAGUCAUACAAUUAUAAUAUUGUCAUAUAUUUUGGACUUGGAUUUUAAAUAAUAAGUAUUAUAUUUAUGUGGGUGAGAGUUUAUUUGAAUUUGGGUAUAAUAUAUUUGAGUUUGAAUUUAGAUAUAAAUAUUUUGAAUAUAUAAAAAAAUUAAUAAGGUUACACGUUUUAACCAUAAUCUCUCCAAUGGUCCAAAAUCAAAGUGAAUUUUUAAUCAUCAUCUUUUGCUUAUCCAUAGAAACAUAGACCACAGGUUUAAAUUUUAGGUUUAUAAAUUUAAUAAAAUAUUUUUAAUAUUGAAAACCUAAUGAAGAAAAUUAAAAAUAAUUGAAAUGUAAAUGUGAUAUAUAAUAAAUAAUAAAUAAUAAAUUAUAUUUUUAUUAGCUCAAAAGUUGUGUAUAGAAUAAUUACACGUUAGAUUAUAAUGUAAAGUUGCCAUAAUAAAUUAUAUUUUAAACUUGUUACUUAGAUUAUACUUGUAUUUUCUGAUUAGGUAGAUUAAGUCAUUCUUGGCUUUCAACCAUUUGACCUUUUUCAUUAUCUUCAACCUCGAUUUGCUAGUGCGUGGGCUCUAUUUGCAAAUCAAUGAAAACUUUUAGUAAAACUUUAGGGCUAGAAACCAAAGAUCAAUUUUUUUUAAAUAUAGAAUUUGUUCUUAAAAUAACUAUAUUUUGACAAAAUGUCGAUGUAAAGAAAUUUGUUAUUUGACCUAGCCCUUAGUCUCUAUUUAUAGUGAAAAUAACAAAAGUCUUAGUAAAAUAAAAAAUAGCCGAAUAAUGAUAUUUUAAUAGGAAAACAUGAUUACUACUAGGAGUGUGUUACAAGGGGCGGUGAAACCCUCUUUAGAACUUAGGGUUUGCUGCCCCUUCCCUUUAAAUCAAGCCUAUUAGGCCUCUUCAUGUAUUGAGUCAAUUAUAUGUGUUAUCUAGUCUUUAAAUCAAUUCAUAUAAUUUAGUCAAUCGCGAUAAAUGUAUUUCCUAUGCCCAAAAUACAAUUUAUUCAUUUAAUUAAUUAAAUUAAUUAAGUUAUUUCCUCAACCCAAUUCUGUUUUCGUUAAAAUCAUGACGAUUUUACCAUAUUAGAAUCUAUGAGCAAAUUAAUUUAAUUAACUUGUUCUCAUGAAACUACGAUGACUUAAUUAAUUUAAUCUCCACUUCGAACUUUAAUUAUUUAAUUACAAAUUAAAUAAUUAUUAGAAGAAAUUAAUUUAAUUCUUGAGUCAUCCUUUUUUUAUAGUGAAAAACAUAUUCAUUAUUUAUAGUGAUACAUGCAACCUAUUUCUCUUACUUCAUUGUUUCACAAAUUUUCAUUUCAUCAAUUAAUGCAAACCAUCAAGGUUAUAUCGAGUUAGGGGAGGGACCGAUUGGAUAUAUAAAGUUAGAGCUCAAAUAAUUUGUAAUUAAGUUACGACCCUACGUCUAUUAAUAACAAUGUUAUUUAGCCGUGGAGUUAUUCACAAUUUUUUAUUUCAUCAAUUAAUGCAAACCAUCAAGGUUAUAUCGAGCUAGUGAAGGGACCAAUUAAACAUAUAAAUUUGAGAUCAAAUAAUUUGUAAUUAAGGCUCAAACCUACGUCUAUUAAUUACAGCAUUAUUUAGUUAUGGAUUCAUUCCACUAAAGUGUAAUGAAUGAGUUCCCCCUUCCAACCCUCUAGCUCCACCAUUGAUCUUCCUUCAUGAAAUAUCAAUUACUAACACAUAGCAAUUAAAUAAUUCAUCUUAGGACAAAUGUCCCGUGGCCACAUUACUUUCCAUCUAUUAUGUAAUGUCAAUGAGAGGAUAUCAUUUACCUUUUAUUGGGAUAUGAAUUUCACUAGUGUAACUGAAGUUAUGUCAUGCAAAAGUCAAAUACCCAAGUAACAACUUUUGGCUCUAUUACCAAUUGAACUCAAGCUAUCAAUACAUCAAAGUAUAAGAGUCAUGCACACAUAGUUCAUCACUUACUCAAGAUUUAGGCAAGCCACAUUAUGAACAUCACAAAUGAAUAAUUCAAUAAACGGAUCUAGGAUUUAUUUUACUUGAGUCUUGUCCAAUGUACUAUCAGUCCAAUCAGUCACGUAUGUCUUUAUAUUCUAGGAGUCAUCCACUCUGAUGCCUAAGACGGGAUAUCUCUCCGUUUGGACUAAAUAGACGACAUAUUAUUCUUUUAACUAACCUGUUCAAUUUCAAUUAGACUAAGGACUUAUUUAGAUUAUCUAUUAAUACAAAAAGAUAUAUCUUCCUGUAUUACGAUCCGAACACGUAAUGCAACUUAGUGUUAGUUAAACACUAAGAUAAUCAAUGAGCAAUAUUUGUUUUCAUUUUGCUUUGUAUGUAAAAAUUGUUGAGGACAAUAUAUAAAAGAUAUUAAUGAAAAUAAUAGUUUUAUUUAUCAAUUUAUUUGAAAAAUUACAAGUACAUAAACAUAAUCACUACACUAAUGACAUUAGAUCCCAACACUUUUGGGGGUGAUUCACUACUUAAAUUUUAGACCUUCUAGUUCUCUUUGAAAAGGUUUUUGAAUUUCUUUAUUUCGUGCACUAUAGCUCGAGAUAUGAUCAUUUUCGUAAGGUAGUGUGAUUUCCUAUAGGAAGUUCAAGAUUAAUUGUUGGGUUUCGUUUGGGUUACUUUGGCUUGACUUUCUGAGAUCAUCUAACCACAUUUUGGGGUGAUUCUUGUGUUGAAAUUGUAGAUUGUCGAGUCUUCUUUGAAAGUUCAAGAUUAAUCGUUGUGUUUCACAAAGGUCAAUUGGACUUGACUUUCCAAAACCUUCAGACCACCUUUUGGGGUGAUACCUAUACCGAAAUUGUAGAUAUUCAAGUCCAUUUUGCAAUGAUUAUUGAAUCACUAGAUUUACAUAUAUGUAGCUCAGGAUAUGACCCUUUUCCAUAAAGAAGUGCAGUUCCCCGCAAACAGUUCAAGUUCAAUCACAAAUCAACUUCUCCAACUUGUUAAAUUAUACCAGAACACAACUAGGUACUAAUGUCAUUGGCCGCAGGUCGAAGCCCAUGAUGAAUGCACAGAAAAUGUCUUAUGAAUGUCAACUAAUUAAAUGGGGCUCAUUUGACUAAUUUGAAUUGGCUCGAUUCGUGAAACGUAUGAAGAAACUCAUCUACUUGAAGUCUUGGUGGCCCAGUGGAACACUCCAGUAAAACCUGAGUUGUCAUGAUUAAUAUUUGUAAUCCUAAGGGAUAAUAUUGUAUAGAGUUUAAAUCUCUUAGGACUCUUAUCUUGUAAAUAGGCUUUGAUCUUGACUGUCGAUGUAAUUUAAAUUGUACCGUUAGAUUUGGGGGGCUCAACUAUAAAUAGAGACAUUCUCCCUCAUUUGUAAUCACUCAAUUGUAUUCCUUCAAAGUAAUAAGAACAAUUAAAAAGUAUUUACUCAAACACUUGGUGUGCAUUACUUUUCUGUGGCUUUUCUAUUCGUUCAUAGCUUCUUUUUCUUUCGAGUAUACUUAUGCUUUAUUUUAGCGCCCUAGAGAAUCUCCUUUGUACUUUUGAUAGUAAGGUUAACUUAGGCAGAUUUGAAACAUAUGGAUCGCCUAAGGCCACUCGCUUUGCCAAACUAAUCUAGCCCCAUCACAUUAGAUGAUUGAUAUUCUAUUGUUUUUAACUAUUUGAGUUGAUCCUAGAUGCAUAAAAAAAAUUUAAAUUUUCACGGCGCACACGUUCCAUGUUUUCGAACUUUGGUCUCACCCACAUUGAUUUAGUUACUUACAUGGAUUAGAUCAUUUGAAACUCUCUCUUUUUGUGUAUGGAUUCGAUUGAUAGAGGGUGACAUUCUAGGAUCUUUUGCAUGUUAUCAAAAAUAUAUGUGAAUGAAUGUUGAUGAAUUAUAUAAUUGUUAUUAUGUAAUUUUGUCAUGGUUGUGGUACCUAAAAUUCGAACAAUAUUCUAAGAUCUUUUGCAUGUUAUUGAAAUACAUGUAAAUGGAUGUUGAUGAAUUAUAUAAUUGUUAUUAUGUAAUGUUAUCAAUGUUGUAGUUACAAAAAUUAGAAUAAUUGUAUUUAGGUUAGUUAUGAAACUAAACCGUAGACUAUCAUUUUCACGCAAGUAUUUUAGUUUAUUGCAAUUAGAAAGUCUUGUUAACUGAAAACACAUUAAGAAUCUUAUAACAAAACAGGAACUCUAAACUAUCUAGAAGAAAAUCUAGGCACCCUCCCUGGACUUGGAUGGUUAGAGGGAAAAUUCAAAUCUAAAGAAAGUGGUUAAAGAGAUGAACAAAACCUAUUGUCAUAUAUUGUUCGUGAGGAAGGUUUUCGGCUCUUCACUACCUGCUUCUAUUAUUUAAAUAUUGAUUAGAAUGCAAAUUUUUAGAAUGGUAGCCUGCCUUUGUCAUGCUCAACAAGAAGGUUGGACAUGAUGACUACUUGAGACACUCAAUUCAUUAAAAGCUUGUGUCAUGGAACGAGACUUUAGCUCCAGCCACAUGCGAUCUUAGGCUUAGUUUCUACAACAACAAGCCUCAGACAACGAGAAAGAAUUUGGGAGGAUCUGGAAGUAUAUUCGCUCAAGCACAAGAGAGAACAAUAAAGAAUUAAGUGGGGAAUGAACUAAAAGUCUUCCAAGUCAUUUCAACAACCUCUGGCUCAUUUUUCUCGUGUUUGCACUGUUUCGAACUCAUCGCGGGCAGACUGAGACACUCGCACAUGAUCUAAGCAAAUAUUCAGCAAGUUGGACACCAAAAAAGAUUGCUUGCAGGCGCUUUGCAUCCUUCAGAUCCCCUAGUUCAGUCUUCAGCACUUUUAGCAUCAAUUAAAUCCGCUUCUUUAAUAUGGUAUUAGAUUCUACUUUGCUUUAGCUAAUGCAUCAAAUAAACUUUAAUUAUGGCUUUUGUGUCCACCCUCUAAAAAAAAAAAAGAAAUUUGACUUGUAUUGCGGUUUUCAAAAUAAAUGAUCUCAUUUGUGGUUGACAUGCUGCUCAUUGAGAAUUUUAAAAUUCAAUUAGUAUCCAGUAUACUAUAGACUAAUAUCAAGAAUACUUCAACUUAGCCUAAAUCUACAUUCAGCUGAACAAAGGGAUGCACAAACAACGCAUUCAUUCAGAAAAAUCCAUGCUUAAAAACAGCAAAAACAAUCAUGUUGAAAUGGAGUUUCAUAAUGUUGAAAUGGAGUUUCAUAUUUCAUCCCAUUAUGCUUACAAUCUUCCUUCACAAUCACUUUAUUGAAACCGAAGAAAUUAACAAAAGACAUUUGGAACAACAUCUGCAACAGCAAGCCUGUAAUCAGAUAAUCUUCCUGUGCCUAAACACAAUCCGGGAGUCACUGAAGUGGAAAACAAGUUUCUUUCAUGUCACUCUGCACUCUUAGGACAUGAAUAUAAAUAUACCCAAACAUAAACUAAAAGCACCAAUGAAAUUAGCAACAGACAAAUUAAAAAAUGCCGGCAAAGCAAAUGAAUGCUAAAAUCCUAAGGCCUCCUAACAAAGUAACAAGGAUAGGCGAAUAGAAAAAUCAAGGAAAAAAUAUCUAAUAAUAAUGCUAGUUCUCGGUUUUUCUCUCCUCUUUUAUUGUAUCAAUCCUUGAACCUUGUGGAUACACAUGCAAAUGAAAUCAAUUACAUGCCAUUAUGACAGAGACAGGCCAUAAUUCCUUAAAGUUAUGUAGACUUGGAGCACAAAAUAUAUAGGCAUAAAUAAAGUAACAAUGAAUUGGAGUUUCAUAGUAACUCCGAGUAGAGGAAAAAGAAUCAAGUUUUCAAGCAUCAAGAAUAAAUGACCUCCCUCUUAGUUGUGUUCGAUUAACCUCUUAUAAAUGCAAAAUAUGCAAAAUCAAAACUCAACAAAUCAUACUAAGCAGAAAGAAAAACUGUACCUAAUGCUUAUCUCCAUGACCGUGAGAAUGAUCAUCAUGGCCCUCCCAAGGGUGUCGCCAACCCUAAGAGCGACAAAGUCAGUCCGGGAAUGAAAGCAAGUUACUUCAGAUAAGGAUUGAUUAUGAAGGCAACUGAAAAGAGGAACUUCUUACCAAUACAACAGGACCAUCUUGCUUAGCCCUGUACAAGACCCAAAACCUGAAACACCAGAUUCAAGGAACUUCAAAAAAUCCAUCAGCAUUGCAAUCUAAUCUUUAUUAAUGUUUGCAAGCAACCUGACUUAUAUCAUCUAUGAAUCACAAGGAUAAUACAGUGACAAUGUACACGGCCAUCAGUAUCCAUGAUCGUUAAUGGAAAAGCUUGCAGAUAAUAAUUCUAAAACAUAAAACCUUCGAGCAUCAACUAAUUUGAUCCAAAUUCAAGCCUUCACUGCACAUCUUUCAAACUAAACCCCCAAUUUUUUUAUAAAUUAAAUUUCCACUUUCAAGGCGUAUCCAUGAAUUCUUUUUACAGAUAUGCUAAUUGAAAUUGCACCAAAUUCCCAAAUGUCUUGGCACAACAGAAUCACUAGAUAAACUAAAUCCAAUAAACGUCAGAUUGGUAACAAAUCAGGAUACCGAUUAAUUCAAACAAAAAGGAAAAAUAAAAAUUACCACAUAACGGCACACAAGCCUUUGCCGGUGACAACAUGCCAUCGCUUUGGAUGAUGCAAAGUUAGACCUUUGUAAGUUGUACUCUCUCCAUGGCCUCCUCCCAUCUCUCCCUGUAACCAAACCCUAAACACCAGAAAUGUUCCCAAGUGUUCGAAGGUGGAUUAAUCACUUGCCGGUUGCUUAGAUUUAAACCGAUCCUGAACCGUUGGAUGCGAAUUUGACCAACUGAAGGUGUGGUUCCCAUAUGUGCUGGUUUCUUUUCGUUGUACCAGGCCUUUUUCACGAAAUCGGCUAAGCCCAAGCCAUUGAUCCAUAAAUCUGAGAGUUGAUGUAUUACAGGGAUUAGAUGGUUGUAUUAUUAAAUGAAUCAAAUUAGUCCUAUAUUAUUAAAAAGUAUCAAAUAGAUUUAACAUUUAAUGUAUAAAAAAUGGUCUUUGAAAAUUAUUUUUUCAAUUGUAAUUUAAUUCUAAACAGAAUAUUUUAUUUACAAAACCAUAAAACUUUUAAAAAUAUUAGCUAUGCUGAAUAGUAAAUGAUACUUUUUUAAAAUAGUAUAUGUUAAAUCUAUUCUAAUUUAGUUUUAGUCAAUUUUUUAAUAGUAUAAGGACUAAAUUAAUUUAUUUAAUUAUAAAAAAUAUUAAUUUAAUCAGAUUUUUAUAAUAGAGGACCUCCCCAUUUCACUAAAGGAGAGGAAAACAAAAUUCAUUUCACCCCUUUCACUUGUAGUUUAGUUUAUUUAAUUCUUAAAAUUGUAGAUUGUUUUUUAAUAUUUAUUUAUUUUAAUUUUAAUAUAAUUUAUAUAUUUUAAAUUAUUAUUAAUUAGCACAAAAUAUAGUUUUAAUUAUUUAAUUUAGAUUUUUAUUAUAUUUUAAUUUUACUUACCAAAUAUAUACUUUUUAUUUUAUAUUUCAUUAAUUAAUAUACAUAUAUUUUUAAUGAUUUUAAAUUAUUUAUUAUAUAUAAACACAGUUUAAUUUAAAUAUCUUUAAUGGUUAUUUUCUAUUCUUGUCUCUAUUGUUAUGUUUUGAAUUUAAAUAUAGCUAUUGCCCUUGGUAAAUUUACCGAAGAUGAAAAUGAUUUAUUUGAUAUUAUGUAUGACUGGUUAUGUAGGGACCUUUUCGUUUUUGUAGGUUGGUCCGCCCUAUUGCUCUUUCCCUAUUCCUAUUUCGUUUUAGGGGGUUGGUUUAUAGGUACAACCUUUAUAACUUCAUGGUAUAUUCAUGGAUUGACCAGCUCCUAUUUGGAAGGUUGCAAUUUUUUAACCGCCGCAGUUUCUACCCCUGCUAGUAGUUUAGCACAUUCUUCGUUGUUACUAUGGGGUCCUAAAGCACAAGGAGAUUUUACUUUUUGGUGUCAAUUAGGUGGUCCGUGGACAUUUGUUGCUCUCCACAGUGCUUUCGAACUAAUAGUAUUUAUGUUACAUUAAUUUGCACUUGCGUGAUCUGUCCAAUUGCAACCUUAUAACGUAACUGCAUUCUCUGGUCCAACUACAUGCACAAUAUUUUGGAAUCUACAUCAUGUUUUUGAAAACGUAAGAAUUCAAAGUAUCUUGGUCCUUUCUUAUGAGUUGAUCCCGAAGGAAAUUAAUUAGAAAUUUUUUGGUAAAUCGUUAAUUUAUUUAAUAUUUAACUAUAUUUAUUUAUAAGUUUACUAGAUUGAAAUUUUAUGAUGUAUAAAAAUUUAUAGACCCCAUGUUACAUUCAGUAAAAAUUUAUGAUACAAGUAUUGGGUGUACUCAACGUGUCUAAGCCUGCUCCACCGAUGUGUUAGAAAUGAUUCCUUGCAAUGGAUGUAAAGCUAAGUAGAUUGCUUCCACAGUCUAACUACUUAAUUGAUUAAUUUCUUUACCACCACUAUUUUCAAUCUUAACAAAGUCAUUUCAUUGUCAUAUAAGUAGAAAAUGUAUGUAUUUUGAAUAUUGAUAGGUUGUAACACCCCUCACCAGUAUUCAAUGCCGGAAUAGGGUUACAGAGUAUUAUUGAACUUAUAAAACAAUUAAAAAUUCAUUUAGCAUACAUUUUCACAAUUCAUGCAUUCAUCAUUCAAUCUCAAUCAAUUUGUCCCUACUACGAGACUUCGAGGCCCUACCUUAUAUCCAAAGUACUAAUAUCAUGGCCCGAAGCCAAAUCAGUCGAUAUUCACGACCGGAAGCCAAAUCGGUAUAACUCGCACCCAAAGUACUAAUAUCAUGGCCCGAAGCCAACUCAAUGUAUCCCCUAAUGACAUGUCACUAGUAUCCUAAACUAUUCCUAAGGUUCAACUGGGAUUUCGAAUGCCGAAUUGCCAUUAAGUCAUGUCAAACUUAUCUGAAGUCUCGUAUUCAAAAUUUAUACAAUAUCAAGCAUUUAAAAUACACUUAUAAUGAAAUUUAUCACUUACGAACUUACCUCGAAUGUGAAAACGAUGAAAUAAGUCGAUUAGUCGAUAACUUUAGUUUUCCCCCGAUCUAGAUUUGAAUUCCGCUUUUCUUGAUCUAAAUAUAUUUAAAAUUAACUUAUUUAAUAAUAUCUCUAUUCAAUUUAAUCCAAAACACACAUUUAAGCAUGUUUACACAUUUUCCCCUAAUGUUUCACUACUUUUACAAUUUACUCCUUAUUUCAUAAAAUCACAAAUUAAUGAAAUUAAAAAUAAACCCAUGCUAGCCGAAUUACUAUUAUGCCUCUAGCAGCCCAUAUUUUUCAUUUAUUUCACAUUUUAACCACAAAGUUUCAGCAUUUCUCAAUUUAAUCCCUAUUUUGCAUUUUCACUAAAAAUCACUUAACAAAACUUGUAUAUUUCACAACAAACAUUCAUAAUCUAUCAUCAAACAUCAAAAAACUCAUGUAUUCAUCAAUGACAUCAUUCAAACUCUUUAACAAUUUUGCAAAAUAGCCCUGGGCUAGCUAGACCUAGUUGUAACGAACUCAAAAACAUAGAAAUCAUUAAAAACGAAAUAAAAAUGGACUUACAAUUGAGUAUCAAAGUAACCGAAAGUUUCAAGCCCUAAAAUGGGUUUUCUUCAUGCUUCAUUCGGCCAACGAAGAUGAUUAUAAAAUAAAUUUUUUUGUUUUAUUUAAUUAACCUUAAUUGAUAAAUUACUAAAUUAACUUUAAUGAUAAAACAUUUAUAUCAUCUAUUUCAUGUCCAUUAUGGACCACUUACUUUAAUAAUGGUCCAUUUAUCACUUAAGGACUUCCACAUUUAAUAUUCAUAGUCAUUUAGUGCAUUAAAAAAUAGAAUUCAACUUUUACACUUUACGCGAUUUAAUCAUUUUUACCAAAUUAAUCAAUCAAACGAUAAAAUUCCUUAACGAAAUUUUCAUACAACUAUAAUAUCAUGCCAUAGACAUUAAAAUGAUAAUAAAAUAAUUAUUUUAACCUCAGAUUUUUUGUCCCAAAACCAUUAUUCUGAUUUGACUAAAAACGGGUUGUUACAACUCUCUCCCUUAAGGAUUUUCGUCCCUAAAAAUCUUACCAGUGAAUACGUUAGGGUAUUAUUUUCUCAUAGCUUCCUCGAGCUCCCACGUAGCCUCUUCGACACCGUGACAUUGCCUCAAGACUUUCACUAAAGCUAUGCGUUUAUUUCUCAGCUCUUUAAUCUCUCGAGCCAAAAUUCUGAUCAGUUCUUCGUUGUAUGUCAUAUCGGGUUGAAUUUCGAUCUCUGACGGAGAAAUCACAUGUAAUGGAUCAGAUCUAUAUUGGCACAACAUCAAUACAUGAAACACGUUAUGGAUUUUCUCUAACUCAGUCAGUAAAGCUAGCCGAUAUGCCACUGGUCCUAUUCUUUCAAUGAUCUCAUAUGGUCUGGUGAAGCGUGGACUCAAUUUGCCUUUGUAACCAAAUCAUAGUAUUUUCUUCCACGGAGACAUUUUCAAAAUACUUUAUCACCGAUUUGAAAUUCAAUGUCUUUCCGUUUCAAAUCUGUGUACGAUUUCAUCGAUCUAAAGCUACUUUCAAACUGUCGCAGAUUACUUUCACUUUUUCUUCUGUUUCUCAGAUCAAUUCAACCUCGUGAAUCUUUUUCUUACUCAACUCUAUCAAAUACAAUGGAGUUCAGAAUUUGCGACCAUACAAAGCUUCAUAUGGUGCCAUUUUAAUACUUUAUUGAAAGCUGUUGUUAUACACGAAUUCAACCAACAACAAAUAUAUCUCUCAGUUGCUUUCGAACUCUAAAACACAACAGCGAAGCAUAUCUUUGAGAAUUUGAAUUACUCUCUUGGACUGACCGUUAGUUUAUGGAUGAAAUGCAGUACUAAAGUUUAACUUCGUACCCAGAGCUUCUUGCAAUUUCUUCCAAAAUCACAAUGUAAAUCUCAGAUCUCUAUCCGAAAUAAUCGAAAUUGGUACCCCGUGCAAUCUAACAAUCUCAGCAAUGUACAAUUUAGCUAAUCUAUCGAAUGAAUAGUCUAUACGUACUAGUAUAAAAUGCGUCGAUUUCAUCAAUCUAUCAACUAUAACCCAAACAACAUCUUUCUUUUUUAGAGUCAGGGGUAACCCCGAUACGAAAUCCAUCGUAACUUUAUUCCAUUUCCACUUAGGUAUCAUUACUGGUUGCAGUAGUCCCAAAGGCACUUGAUGUUUGGCUUUCACUUGUUGAUAGAUUAAACAUCUCGACACAAACUCUGAAAUAUCUCGUUUCAUGCCCGACUACCAAUAUAACUAUUUCAAAUCAUUGUACAUCUUAGUACUUCCAGGAUAAACGGAUAAAAAACCACUAUAUGCCUCGUGUAAAAUUUUCUGAAUCAACUCUGGAUUUUUCAAUACACAGAUUCUACCUAGGAACAUCAGACAAUCAUCGGCUCUAAUUUGGUACUCUAAAUCACUAGUUGACUCGCAUUGCAUUCUUUUAGCUUGCAAUUUACUAUCACAUUUCUAACCUUCGCAAAUUUGCUGAAGAAAUACUGGUUUAGCCUUUAACUCAGCUAAAAUCGAAACAUCAUCAGAUAACGUUAACUGAGUAUUUAUUAUUCUCAAAGCAAACAACGAUUUUCUACUCAAAGAAUCAACGACUAUAUUAACUUUUCCCGGAUGAUAAUUAAUUACUAAUUCAUAGUCUUUUAGUAGCUCAAGCCAUUUCCGUUGUCGCAAAUUUAAAUCUUUUUGAGUUAUAAUAUACUUUAAACUUUUAUGAUCAGUGAAGAUGUGCCAUUUUUCACUGUACAAAUGAUGACACAAAAUUUUCAAUGUGAAAAAAAUAGCAGCCAACUCUAAAUCGUGCGUCGGGUAAUUCUUUUUAUACGGUUUCAACUGUCUCGAGACAUAAGCUAUCACUUUUCCCUCUUGCAUCAACACACAACCUAACUCGUUUAAUGACUUGUCACUAUAAAUCACAAACUCUUUACCCGACUCAGGUUGAACCAAAACUGGUGCUUUGGUUAGCAAUUCUUUCAAUUGUUCAAAACUCUUUUGUCAUUUUUUAGACCACUCAAAUUUUACAUCUUUUAGUAGUAACCUGGUCAUCGGUGUAACAAUCAUUGAGAACCCUUUUACAAAACAUCGAUAGUAACCAGCUAACCCCAAAAAGCUUCUGACUUCGGAUACAUUUCCCGGUGGUUUCCAAUCAACAACUGCUGAAAUCUUACUCGAAUCAACUUUUAUACCUUCCGCGGAAACAAUGUGCCCCAAAAAAUUUGACUUCUCUGAGCCAAAACUCACAUUUGCUGAAUUUAGCAAAUAGUUAAUUGUCUCUUAAAGUUUGCAACACAAUCCUCAAAUGCUUGGCAUGCUCAGACUUAUCUCGAGAAUAGAUCAGAAUGUCGCCAAUGAAUACAACAACAAAUCUAUCUAAAUACGAUUUAAAGAUCCUAUUCAUCAAAUCCAUAAAGACUGCAGGAGUAUUAGUUAAUCCAAAAGGCAUAACAAGGAAUUCAUAAUGUCCAUACCUCAUUCUAAAUGCAGUUUUCGACACAUCUAAGUCUUUAACUCUCAACUAAUAAUAACCCAAUCUCAAAUCAAUCUUCGAAAACACUAUUGCCUCUUUUAACUGGUCAAAAAAAUCAUCAAUUCUCGGCAAAUGAUACUUGUUCUUUAUCUUAACCUUAUUGAGCUAUCGAUAGUCAAUACACAUUCUCAUUGAUCCAUCUUUUUUCUUUAUGAACAAUACUGGCGCACCUAAGGUAAAAAACUAGGUCGUGCAAAACCUCUAUCUGUUAACUCUUGCAACUGAGAUUUCAACUCUUUCAAUUCUAUCAGAACCAUUUUGUACUGAGCUAUGGAUAUCGGUGAAGUUCCUAGUACUAACUCGAUAGCAAACUCAACCUCUCUGAUCGGUGGUAAUCUAGGAAAAUCUUCUGGAAACACAUCCAGAAACUUACAAACUAUCGACACUGAUUCAAUCUUCGAUUCAGACACUCUUGUAUCCAGUAUAUAAGCAAGAUAAGCUUCACAACCUUUUCUCACAUAUCUCUAAGCUGACACAGACAAAAUCACAGCAGGCAAUCCAUUCGAUUCAUCUUAUUCAAUUCGAAGAAUUUCACUGUUCUGACAUUUCAAUUCAAUGAUUUUCUGUUUACAAUUCACAAUGACAUCAUGCAGAGUCAACCAAUCCAUUCCCAGAAUCACAUCGAACUCAUCAAACAGAAAAAGCAUCAAUUCAACCGGAAAACAGUAACCUCGAGUCAUUAAAGGACAGUUCUUGCAUAUUUUAAUCAACUAGAACAUACUUGCCUAAGGGAUUCGAUAUUUUAAUCACAAAUUUAGUAGACUCAACAGGCAAACUCUUACUAAACACUAAAUUCAUACAAAUAUACAAAUGAGUCAAUCUAGGAUCAAUCAAUGCAGUUACAUUAGUGUUAUAAAGAGAAAAUGUAUCGAUGAUAACAUCAGAUGAUGACGCUUCUUUGCGAGCGCGAAUAACGUAAGCUCUAGUUGCUACUCUAGUAUCGGAUCUCACAGCUGAAUCUCUAGUUACAUCUUUUCCACUAGACACAUUCCCCAUAUUUCUCGGGGGCCUCCAUCUCGCAGUCGUACUGCUCGGUCUUAUAUUCUGAAAUUUAUCUCUCUCAGAUAACUCUGGGCAAUCUUGAAUAAAAUGAUCUGGCGAUCCACGUAUGAAACAAGCUUUAUUACUUUUAUUCCAGCAUUCUCCAAAAUGUCGUCUCCCACAAUGUUGACACUCAGGUUGAUUGUUUCUUAUACUGCCAACGCUUGAGAUGGAAGUUGCUUGAGCUUUAGGACUCACAUAUUGUAACAGCCUGGUUUUAGCUAAAUCGGAAUAGUGGUUUUGAGACCAUAUAUACGAGGUCAAAAAAUUAUUUUAAUAUUAUUUUUUGUGUUUAUAUAAUGUGAUUAUAUAUGUGUGAAAAUUUCGUGAGCUAAUUUUAUCGUUUAAUAACUCAAUUUGAGAAAAAUGACUAAAUCGCGUAAAAUGCAAAAGUGAUAUUUUAUAUGUUAAAUGUGUUUAAUUGCUAUGGUUGAUUAAAUGUGAGGUUCUUAUGUUGAUAUUAGACUAUUUAUAGUGGAAUUUUACAUAAAUGGUCAUUAAUUGAAUGUUUUAAAUGGUUUUUAAUUACGACUAAUUUGGUAAUUUGGUUAUUAACGUUAAUAUUAAUAAAACAAAUAAAAAAUAAACCUUAUUAUCAUCUUCCACCACUAAUUAAUGAAGAAUGAGAAGUUUUUUUUGGUGUUUUAGGUUUUGGCUAGCAUAUAACUUGAUUAAGGUAUGUUUUGAGCUCGGUUUUUGACGAUUUCUAUGUUUUGUAAUCGUUGCUUUGUGUUCUAGCUAGCCCUUACCCUAAUUUUUGAAUUUUUUAAUGAUUUUGUAAAAUUCCAUUGAUGAUCUCUUGAGUUUUUUGAAUGUUGAUGAUGGAAAAUGAAUAAUUGUUGAUAGAUUUUAAUGUUUUGUAAAGUGAUUUUUGACAAAAAUGUCAAAUAAGGAUUAAAUUGUGAAAUUUGCAAAUUGAAGAGUUGAAAUAUGAAAUAAAUGAAAGUUUUGGGCUGCUAAGGGUCCCUAUGAAAUUCGGCUAGCAUGUAAUUGGAUUUAAUUGUGGGAAUUUUAUGUAUUUUUUAAAUAGAGACUAAAUUGUAAGAAAUGUGAAAGUUUAGGGUCAAAGUGCAAAUUGGCUAAAAUAUGUGUUUGUGGAUGAAAUUGAUUGAGUUGAUGAUUAAAUGGGUUAAUUUUGAAUACAAAUAGAUUAAGAAAGAAAGAAUUCGAAUUUAGAUCUAGGAAAAUUGAAGUUUAUUGAGUAAUCGAUCCGAUUCGUCAAUUCUAAGUAGGAGGUAAGUUCGUAUGUGGCAAUUUCAUUUUAAAUGCAUGUUAAAUUCUUUGACAUCGCAUAAACUAUGAUAAUGAGAUUACAGAUAGUGUUGAAUAGUGAAAAUGACUCUACGAAUGCAUUCGAUGAUAGAAACGAGAGGUGUGAAAGCUCGGUUGAACCUUAGGAAUAGAAUUGGAUAUUUGUGAAAUGUUAUAAGUUGAUUUGGCUUCGAGCCAUGCAUAUCAGAUGAGUUGGCUUCACGCCACGAUAUCGGCACUUCAGGUGCAAAUAAUACCUUGAUUUGGCUAUGGGCUAUGGUAUAGCUACUCUGAGAUAAGUUACCUUGAUUUGGUUAUGGGCCAUGGUAUAGGUACUUAUUGAUUGAUAUCUGAGUAUCUGACUUUUAAUCCAAAUGGUUCAACAGGUAAUGAAUGAUGUAGUUGAGAAAAAGGUUAGUACGAGGUGGUAUAGCUACGUACGGAACUUAUUCAAAUAUUACAUUGAGAAAGUUCAAUGAGAUUAUAUUGGAUCAUGUUUAAGACAUGACAAAGGUUUGUAGUUAAUGUGAUUUUGAUUUGGUAAUGUGAAAAUGGUUGAAUUACAUUUAUUUGAUAAAUUGAGUUAAUCACUUACGAGCUUACUAAGCUAUGAAGCUUACUAUGUGUUAUUUGUCUAUGUUUUAUAGAUUAUCGAAGCUAGCUUGGACUCGGGGAUCGUCGGGAAACGUCAUUACACUAUUGAACAUUUUGUUGGUACUUUUGAAGCUUAGUAUAUAUGGUAUAUGACAUGUAUUGGCUAGUGUCAUUAUGGUACAUUUUGUGUAAUGAAAUUCUAGCCAUGUGAUUUGGCUUGUAUUUGGUAAAGUUGUGGGAUGUGAAUUUUACUUAUUGAAUGUGUUUAUAUAUGCUAUGUAAUGUGAAUGGUAUGCCUUGUCAAUUUAGCCUAGUAUGGUAUGAGAAUAAGGUAUUGAAUUGGUGGUAUUUUGAAAUUUGAAUUAGAUGAUAAGAUGAUGAGUAAAUGCAUUUGGAACUUAUGUAAGUUUUAAUGAUUUUGGCAUAAUGAUUUGGUAUGUUUUGAAUAUGAAAUUUAGUAGUUGAAAUGAUUGAGGAUAGUUUGCAUGAAUUGGCAUAUUUUGUCUACCUAUAAAUGUAAUGAAAUAGGACUAUUUUGGUUGCUAGGUGUGCAUGAGAAAAGGGUGGCAAAUUGGCUUGGCAAAUGGCCUAUUUUUGUCCACACUGGCAGAGACACGGGCGUGUGUCUCAGCCAUGUGCAACACACAGUCACGUUACACGGCCGUAUGUCCCCUAGGUUCCCUUUCGAAUUAAGUCAAUAUACCCUACAGGUUUAGCACGGCCUAGACACACGGGCUGGCACAUGGGCAUGUGGUUGACCGUGUGACACAAGUCAGUAACCCCUCUAAUUUUCCCACUGUCAUGGCACACGGGCGUGUCCGGCCGUAUGAUGCUAGUCAGUAUGUAUGCCCUAUUUUCACACAGCCUAUGACACGAGCGUGUCUGGUGGCUGUGUGAGGCACAUGGCCUGUUCACACGGGCGUGUAACUCUUAAAUGCAAGAAAAUUUUCUAUGUUUCCUGAAGUUUGCUAAUGUUAUUAGUUUCAUCCCGAACUUCUUUUAAGCAUGUUUUAAGGUCUCGUAGGGCCUUAUAAGGGACAAUGUGAAUGUGUUGAAUGAAAUUUUAUUAUGAAUGCAUAUAUGUAUGAUUUAUGUUGUAAUAGAUAGGUAAUGCCUCGUAACCCUAUUCCGGCUAUGGAUACGGGUUAAGGGUGUUACACAUGUUGAUUUCCACGAUCUCUAUUAUGGUAUCCCACAGAUGCAUUUGAUCGACUAUACGAAUCUCGAGAUUUCUUUGAUGAAGAAUGAUAAGGUUUAUUCGUCGGUCUUUUUCUCGAAUAUCUAGCCCAUGAAUCAGCUUUCAUCUUUUCUAGGCUAAAGCCUUUGGCUUUACAAGCCUGGUCAACUAGUACAACAAAUUCUUUCAAAUCUAAAAUCCCGACCAGAAGUUUAAUGUCUUCAUUCAAACCGUUAACAAACCGCUUGCACAUGAUCUCUUCGGUAGAAACAUACUCUCGAGCAUAUUUACUCAACCGCACAAAUUCUAAAAACUCUUUGUGUUUUUUAUCUAGAAACUGUUGGCUUAUAUAUUUCUUCCUAAACUCAGUUUGAAAGAAUUCUCAGGUGACUCGUUCUCUAGGUACCACAUAUACUAAUGUAUUCUACCAUUGAUACACGACAUCUCUCAAUAAUGAAAUGGCACACUUUAAACUCUUAGCUGGAGUACAUAACAGUUCAUCACAUACCCGAAUAGUGUUUUCAAGCCAAAAUUCAACUCUCUCGGGAUCGUCAUCCACGGUAGCUCUUAACUUCUCAGCCCUGUACUUACGGAUUUUAUCAACUGGAGGCUUAUUUAAUCGUGGAAAUUCCACAACUUAAGGGGCUAUAGGGAUCGGUUGAGGAUUAGGUUAGGGUGGAGGUUGUUGAGCAGCAGGAUUUGUCCGGACAUACUGUGUGAACCUUUCGUUCAUCAUUUGGAAGAAGGCUUCUUUAGCCUCUCCUCCUUGGCUACCCGAUACGAGUCUAGAUUCUGAAGACACUGUCCCUCGAGCGGGAGCUGGCGCAUUACUUUUAACCUCAUCAACUACAACUCGAUUAAGAUCCAUUUACUAUACGAAAACACAUUUUAAAAUGUCAGGAGUCAUCACGCUAUCACAAUUUAUAUAUGGCAUGUAUAGCUAAACUCUCACAUACACUACGUUAGUCCUAGAAUCGACUAAACCGUAACUCUGAUACCAAUAAAUGUAACACCCAUCACCCGUAUUCAAUGCCGAGAUAGGGCUACAAAGUAUUACCGAACUUAUAAAAUAAUUAAAAAUUCAUUUAGCAUAUAUUUUCACAAUUUAUGCAUUCAUAAUUAAAUCUCAAUCAAUUUAUCCCUAAUACGAGCCUUCGAGGCCCUAAACAUGCUUUGGGAAUGGUUCGAGACUAAACCAAUAACUUAAGAAACUUUCAUGAAACCUAGAAAAUUUUUCUCAAAACAGAAGACACACGCCCGUGUGGUCCGCCCGUGUGUCUCACACGGCCACCAGACACGCCCGUGUCACAAGUCGUGUGGACAUUCGAAAUGGAAGCACAUGGCCGUGUCCCAGCCCAUGUCUGACCCCGUGUAACUCUCUAACUUGGGUCACAUGGCCAAUACACACGUCCGUGUGCCUUAAAAAUGACCAUACACGCCCGUGUGCCAGCCUGUGUGCUAGGCGGUGUAAUAGCCCAAAUUUCAACGAUGUCGGAAAUAGUGGUUCGAGACCACCAAAUCCAAAAAAUGAACUCAUAGAUUAUAUUAUUUAAUAUUUAUGAGCCAAAUGUAGCUUUUAAAAUAUUUUUGAAAUAGUAAAUUAUAUUUUAUAAAGAUUUAUUUGGUCAAGAAAUUGAUAAAAAAAAUUAUCGAGAUCUCGGUGUUAUAAACCAAGCCAUAAAUAUUUUUAUAAAUAUUUAAAGAGUGUCAAUAAGGUAGUAUUAAAAUUUUGUUAGAAAAUUUUGACAUUUGGGUGAUUAGUUAAAUAAAAAGGACUAAAUUGAAAAAAAGUGUAAAAGUUGCUAGAAGGAUUAAAUAGCUCAAUUGUCAAAUGAGGAAGGACCUAAAGUGCAAAUAAUCCCAAAGGAGAUAUUUUGGCCAGCAAUAGCUGAGAAAAAUCAGGAAAUGGGUGAAAUAAGGGCAAAAUUGGAAAAUUGACAAAAUUAGCUAAAUAAAAAUGGGACCAAAUUGGAAUAUCUAGAAUUCUCUUCAUUUUCUCUUCAUUUUCAUCAGCUGAAAAAUAGCCAUGAAAGAGGGUUCAAGUUGGUUUUCAUACUCUAACUUCAUGUAAGUUUAAUUCUUACUUUCUCCUUGAAAUUUCUAAGAUUUUGGACUUUUACAAUUGGGUCCAACUUACUAUGUCAUUAGUUUUUGAUUCCAUGGCUAAUUUUUAAAGUUGCUAUGGAUGAGUGCUAGAAGCGAUGAUGAAUAAAUAUAGAAUUGAAGCUUUAAUUUUGAUAUAUGAUGAUUUUAUCAAGUAAAAUUGAUGGAAAUUGAUUUUAAGACCUAAUUAUGAAAGAGUUUGGAAUUAAGGUCUAGUGCUAAAGUUCUAAUUUUCAGGGGUUAUGAAGUAGUUUAAAAUGAUAGACUAAAGUAUUAAUUGAUAAAAAUUAGCUCAAUUUAGGGGUUAAUUGAGCAAGGACUGAAUUGUAUGAACUGUAAAAUUUGGGGUAAAAUGGAAAUCAACAUUUUGCAUUAAAAUUGUUUUGGACAGCAGCAAUAGUCUAAUUUUGAAAAAUCACCAAAAAUUGUAAAAAUCGAAUGAGAGAAUGAAUAAAUAUGAAAUUAAAGCUUAUUGAGCCUAGUUUCUUAUAGAAGAAAUGAUGUAAGCAAUGGGAUUGUAAAUCAUGAGAUAUAAUAAAUUUUGUGAGAUAAGGUCAGAAUGAUUUUGGGUUCCUCUAUUCUGACUUUGGAAAAUCAUCAAAAAUUGAAAAAGAAAAUUAGGGCUUAAGUUCAUAUUUUUAUAAUCCUGAAUGAGUUUAUUUUCAAGAAAAACAAACAGGAAAAGUAUUCGAAUCUUGUACAAGGAGAUAACUAAUUUUUAGUGAAGAAGGGUCGGAACUAUCAGACAGUAGAAUAGGGGUGAUUUUAAAGAAUAAAAUGUACUUAUUGGCUAAACCAAAAAUUCUAAAAAAAAUUUGGUAAUAAGAUAUGCAAGUCUAGUUUCAGGGAAAAUUAGCGGAUCUUAAUUUGGAGCUCUAUAGCUCAAGUUAAAAAUAAUUUAGUGACUAUGACACGGAUGGACAGCUUUGGAAUAUAAAUAUAAGUAAAUAGUGAAAUUAUAGAUAAUGUUACUUAUAAGCGUGUUAUAUACAUUAAGGAUGUGGAAUGGAGAGGAGGAGGAGGAAAAUAUGUGAGUGACUUAUGCAUAAAUCAAUUACAUGCUCGAUUAUAUUUGGUAAAUGUUAAACUUUCUUAAAAUGAAAAAUGUUAUAAAUUCAUGUUUGAAUUAAAUGUUAUAAAUGUUAAAGAAUAAUUUGAAUAUUUGAUAUUGCCUAAUAAAUGAAUAUCCGAUAUUGCUUAGUAAAUGUUAAGCCAAAUAUAAAAAAAAAUAUGUUAUAAGUGAAACAUGUGUGAAAGAAUGUGGUAAGUAUUUUCAUGGUUAUUAUUGAGCUCAUUCACAUGAAUCUGUCAUUUGAAAUUGUGAUAGACAGGAAGAAAUAGUGAAUGGCAUGCUUAUGUAUGGUUAUAUGUAUUUAUCUAAAACACAAGAAAAUGAUGGCUAUAUUUUUUAUAUAUGGAGACAGGAGACAUGAGACUAUGAUAUAUGAACAUGGAAUAUAUUUUAUAAAUGUGUUCAUUCAUAAUUAUAGAAUCCUGCAACUCAAGUGUACUAUUUGUAUAAUGAUAGUAUUUCAAAUGAUUUGAUGAGUAAAGCUCCAAUGUGAGAUAGUCUGAAAUCAAGACAAAUUGUUAUGAAAGUGUAUUUAAAAUACAUAGAUAUGAUUGUUAUAAGUUAUGUGAGUAAAUGAUGUGUAAAAGUAUAUGCAUAUGAGAAAUUUAAUGAAAGUUGAGCCCAUACAUGUUUCUUGAUAUUUAUAUGAAUUAUAUGACUAACAAUGUGAUAAGAAUAGGCAUUAGGGCUCAUGAUCAAUUCGAAUAAUUAUGCUUUGCAUAAUUAUGUUGAAUAUAGAGAAGCGAUAAGUUAAUUACCAUGUUAUACGAAUUUAUUAAAUAUUACAUGUUUACUUUGUUUUACUUUUUCCCCUAAUUAAUAAUGAUUCGAUAAGCUCCGAUAAUGCCUCGUACCCUAUUUCAAUGACGGAUACGGGUAGGGGGUUCUAUAGGCCGUGCCAAACCUGUAGGGUAUACUAACUUAUGCCACACGGCCAAGUCACACACCCGUGUGUGAGGCCAUAUGGAGCAUACUAACUUGAUUUUAAUUUCAACACCAGGGAACACAUGGCCGUGUAACAUAACCGUGCGUCACACACGGCUGAGACACACAUCCAUGUCUCUGCCCGUGUGGACAAAAAAAUAGGGCAUUUACCAAGCCAAUUUGCCACCCAAAUUUAUGCAUUCCUACAUCAAACCAAUUGGUACCAAUACAAGACAUAAAUAAGCAUUCAAUCUACUUCAACCAAGCAUCAUUUAUUCCAUUUCAAUAUAAACAAUUACAAGAUUUACCAUACCACAAUAUACAAUUCAAAUACAUAUCAAAUUUUACCCUUUUCAUUCAUCAAUAUGGUCUUUUUCAAACAUGUAUCAAAUUAUCUAAACUUGUAAGCAUACUAAUUACCAAUUCAUCAACCAUUUGAUAUUCACCAUAUCCAUUUUCAACAAGCACCAAAUACCAUCAUAACUAACAUUUAUAAGGAAAUUACUAAACUCAAACAAAGGCUAUUUGCACACUUAUAUACAUUAUCAAAUUCACCAUUAUAAGCCAACUCACAUGAUUAUAUAUUUACAUACCAAACCUAAUAUUUACAAGCCAACACAAAUGGCCAAAAGAUAUAUACUAAAAAUACCAAGUCCCUAUACAUGCCAUAUACUUAAAAUACCAAAGUUCAUAGGUACCAAGUGAUAUAUGGAUAGUGUGAAGCGGACUCCGAUGAAUCUCCGAAUCCGAGCUAGCUUUGAAUUCACUAUAAAACACGGGAAAAAUAAACAAAGUAAGCUAUAAAGCUUAGUAAGCUCUUAUGAAAUAAACUUGAUAUAAUCAUAUCCGCAUAAUCCAACAAUUGAUAAUAGAUACAUGAAUUUACAUCAACUAACAAACCUUUCAAUUACUCAUUUACAAAACUAUAUACUUUCUUCACCAUUUCUUCGAUUCAAAGCUAAUAUGGUUUAUGCACAUACUUUUACCAUCUUGUACCAAUCUCAUUCUCACCCACAUCAUUCAUUUACCCAUUGAACCAUUCAGAAUAGAAGUCGGAUACUCAGGAGUCUUACACAAUAAGUACCUAUACCAUGACCCGAAGCCAAAUUAAGGUAACUUAUAUCCGAAGUACUGAUAUCAUGGCCCAAAGCCAAAUCAGCCAAUAUUCAUGGCCCAAAGCCAAAUUGGUAUAACUCGCACCCGAAGUGCUAAUAUCAAGGCCCGAAGCCAACUCAAUGUAUCCCCUAAUGACAUGUCACUAGUAUCCUAAACUAUUCUUAAGGUUCAACUGAGAUUUCGAAUGCCGAAUUACCAUCAAGUCAUUGUUGAACUUAUCCGAAAUCUCAUAUUCAAAAUUUAUACAAUAUCAAGCAUUUAAAAUGCACUUAUAAUGAAAUUUAUCACAUACGAACUUACCUCGGAUGUGAAAACAACGAAAUAAGUCGAUUAGUUGAUAACUUUAUUUUUCCCCAAUUCUAGAUCCGAAUUCAGCUUUUCUUGAUCUAAAGAUAUUCAAAAUUAAAUUAUUUAAUAAUAUCUCUAUUUAAUUUAAUCCAAAACACACAUUUAAGCACAUUUACACAUUUUCCCAUAAUGUUUCACCACUUUUACAAUUUAGUCAUUAUUUCAUAAAAUCACAAAUAGUGAAAUUAAAAUAAACCCAUGCUAACUGAAUUACUAUCAUGCCUCUAGUAGCCCAUAUUUUUAUUUAUUUCACAUUUCAACCACAACGUUUCAGCAUUUCUCAAUUUAAUCCCUAUUUUGCAUUUUCACUAAAAAUCAUUUAACAAAACUUGCAUAUUUCACAACAAACAUUCAUAAUCUAUCAUCAAACAUCAAAACACUCAUUGUAACACCCCAAACCUAGCCUAGAUGUUAUGGCCGAAUCUGGCAAUGUCACAUGGAAUGGGAUUCGAAAAUGAGUUUGUCGAGUUAAGCCGUUCCAGUUAAUUAACUUGUUAUGACUAAAAUCGUAUCUUUUUAGCGGAAGCUUUGGUAACGUUUAUUUUUUUGAAAAAUUGUUUGGGUUGAAAGAAACCUUUGUUUUAAGAAAAAUCGAGUUUUUACUGUCUAGCCAUACUAAAAUCGUAAAGCAGUUUAAAAAAUCCAAAAUUCAAAACCCAAUAGUCCAAAAUCCCAAAAUUACACAAGAAAUACCCAAAAUAAUGUGUAUUCUGAAAACUGAAUCAAAGCAGUACGAAACAAUGGUGGUCGCCGUCGAGUCUUCUGCCGCAUCGAUCCAUCUAAGACUGGGGAUUACCUGUACAUAUUAACUGAAAUCGGGUGAGUUUUCGUAAACUCAGUGUGCAAUUCCCACAGAAAAUAUAUAUACAGAUACACAUAAGAAUACAGUCAAGUUCAGUAUGGGCCUGAGCCCAUUUUAGGUUCAGUUUGGGCCUUAGCCCAGUCAGUUACAGUUUCAGAUAUAAAUUAGGGCCUUUGCCCAUCUUAGAUACAGUAUGCAGUAACAGAAAUCAGAGUCCUACCCACCAGCCUUUACACACCAUCUCCGUCCAUCCCUACACACCAUGUGGGGUUAAAAACACUCACUCAUCCCUACACACCAUGCUGUACCGAAAUGCGGCACAUAUUCAGUAAUUUGUAACUGAGCUGCCAGAUAACAGGCUUGAAAGCCUUUCGAACACUUCCUCUAAAUAUCAUCAACCUACCCCGAUGCAAUGCAACAAACAAUAAAUGACAUGCUAAUAUGCGAUUAUUAGUACAUACAUUCAAUUUAGAAUACAUGCUUAGUAUUAUCAGGCUCAGUACAGAUAUCAUACAGAUAAUUUAUAUAUAUAAGGGUCUAAGGAUUGCUUACCGACCCUACAUUAGGUUCACAGUCGACUUGGGCGACCUGUGCAACCUUAGAAACUUUUCAGUUAAAAUGGGCUCACACGCCUAGGUAGCCUGCCCGUGUGGGCCCACACGCCCGUGUGGCCUAUACGGCCCAAAUUGGCCUUGGUCGUGUAGAUCACAUAGUCUGGCCCAUAAUCCCACAUGCCCGUGUGGACUAUCCAUGUAGGCCGACACGCUCGUGUGGCCCACACGGCCCAAAUCAGUCUAGUCCGUUUGUCGCACACGGCCUAUCUGGCCAUUACACGACCGUGUCUGUUGUGCACGGCCUGUCCUCGUUGAUCACACACCCGUGCUAUAGCACACGGCCUACCACACAACCUACCACACGGCCAUGUGACAUCGAUAGAAUGGUUUUUAGCUUUCGUCAAAACCUCGUUUUCUGUGUUUUCGGGUACACACCUGGUUUGUUUUCGACGCGUAAGCUGUUCGAAGCCUCCAGAACCUAAAAAUGGACCAACGUAACACUUAAUUAAACACUUGUUUCGCCAUUCAAUUAAAAAUCUAUCAAAACCUAUCAUCGACAAUAUAAAUAACCCUUUGUAACACCCUAGACCCGGCCUAGACGUUAUGGCCGAAUCUGAUGAUGUCAUGUGGUAGUGCUUUUCGAUAAAUAUGUUGUUGCUAAAUCUCCUUUUUCAUUUUCUUAUGUUAAUUUCAAAUCAUGUCGUUCGAUUUCCAAACAUUAAUCAUUUGUAAUUCGAUAGUCAAUUUCCAAAACGUUUUUCAUUACAGAAGCUUUUAAACAGUUUGCGUAUUCGUGGUAUUUUUUAUAAAACAUCAUUUUCAUUUGAAAACUCGAGUUUUAUCUAACACUAGCAGAUAUGAAUCAUUAAACCGUAUAAAUCCAAAUUUAAACCAAAAUCCAUAAAAGCCAUAAUUACAGUAAAAUACUCCCAAAUAAAAGUAAAAUCAUGAAUAGAUAAUAAAAUAGGGUAAAAGAAGUCGUGUGGCCACCACUGAGUCCUCCGCUGCACCAACCCGCCUAUAUUUGGGGAUUUCCUGUACGGAUUAAACAUAAGGGGUGAGUUUACGUAAACUCAGUAUGUAGUCCCCAUACAAAUGAACAGACAGUAACCAUAUAAUCACAGUCUGGGCUUAAGCCUUUUUCAGUAUCAGUAUCAGACCAGUUUGGGCCUUAGCCCAUCUCAGUACAAAAAUGGUCAUGCAGUAGGGCUUCAACCCAUCACAGUAUCAGUAGCAGUAACAAAUAUGCAGUCAUAGAAAUCCUACCAAUCCAGCCUCUACACACCAUCUUCGUCCAAUCCUACACUCCAUGUGGGGAUAUAAUCAACCCACCCAUCCCUACACUCCAACUAGCACCGAAUGCAACACUAGACAGUAGUUUGCAGCUGUGCUGCCAGUAAAUUAGGCUCGAAGCCUUUCAGUACACUUCCUCCGAAUAAUAUUAACCCCCAACCCAAUAGAAUGUAAUAUAUAAAUAUGACAUGCUAUAACAUAAUAUCAUGAAUGUAAUCAAGGCAUACAGUAUCAAAUCAGUGGGACAUCAUCAUACUUUUUCCAUAUUAGUCAUAUAGUCAUUUCAGUUAAUUAGGGGUUUAGGUAAUGCUUACCGACCCUACAGUAAGUUCACAAUUGACUUGGGCUACCCGUGCAACCUUAGGAAACAUCUCGGCAAAAUGGGCUCACGCGCUCAUGUGGCUUGCCCGUGUGGGCCUACACGCAUGUGUAGCCCACACGGCCCAAAUUGGCCUUGGCUGUGUGGAUCAGACGGCCUGGCCAAUAUCCCACACGCCCGUGUGGGCCCACAUGCCCUUGUGGCCCACACGACCCAAUUUAGUUGAGCCCGUGUGUUGCACACGGCCUACCUGGCCAUCAUACGAUCUUGUUUGGUGCGCACAGCCUGGCCUAGUCGACCACACGCCCGUAUUACAGCACACAGCCUACUACACAGCCUAUCACACGGCUGUGUGGCGUUGACAGAAUAGUUUUUGACUUUCGUCGAAACCUCGUUUUCUGAGUUUUCGGGUACACACCUGGUAUCGAAUUGAUGCAAUAGCACUCCUAUAAAGACCAGCACCCUACAACGUUAUAACAACUUCUAAAAUCAGUCACAAAUCUCGAUUAAACUAAAACCUCGAAAACGAAAAUAGCCCAAAUAGGGCGUUUAUCAUUUACCCUAAACACUCCGAUUGAUUCCCACUAAAGUUCCACCAAAGAGGAGCUCCGACCUUCGUGAAUCAUUGCUGCCAAAAUCCAGAAUUAAACUAAUGAAAAUCAAUGACACAAUAACGAUAUAAAAAGAAAAUCCCCCCUUAAAACGAGUAAAACCUUACCCACACUACCGAAGCACAGGCAGUUGGAAAGCCGGAAAACUGGAGUUGAACAACACCAGAAAGAUGAAGAAAUAAAGAAAAGGAAGAGACAGACGCCCGGGAGGCUGCGAAUUUUUAGUAGAGAGAGAAAAAGAAUUAGCAAAAGAACAAUCAAGGGAUAUUCCCUCAAUCCCUUAAUCCUCUUCACUACCCACAGAACAGAUAACUUCCACAGAAUUUUGGUUUAACAGAAACUCUCACCGCAACACUGGGCAAAAAUAAACCCCCUUGCAGAUAUUCGAACUCAAGACCUCCAGCUCACCAAAAUUUCCCCCUAACCACCAGACCAGUAGGGCCAUUCUAAUAUAAUAUUACAAGCAUUUUAAAUAAAAGCCUACUGAACAAAGUUAAGGCUUUACUCAGAAAAAUCCAAAAUUUUUCCAAAGACAAGACUUGAACUUAAGACCUCUCACAUACACCCAGAACAUUUAACCACUAAAGUAGAUACACAAUUGUGUCACAAACACACAGAAAUAAAUAUACAAACUUUAGGGUGUUACACCCUUAUCGUUAACAAACCGAAGUCGCAACUCUUAAUUCUUUGUAGCAACACCGAUCAAAUAUUGCCCCUCGCCUAAACCAGGAGUAACAAAACAAUUUUUCAUCAAUCAUCAAGUCGAAUAACAAAAAGACUUAUAAAAAAACAGAACUUACUGAACGAGGCAGUCAAUGUUUGCACAAAACUAACUAGUUGAAUCCAGAAAAAGAAUCGAAAAGAAGGUUUUCUGCAGUGAAUUUCCUUUGGGAAAACAUUUUUACUCAAAUCCCUAGAUUCACUUAACCACUCACCCACUACUUAGAAUUCCUGUUUGACCGAAACUCUCUCGGUCAAACGAGCAAAAAUAAACUCCUAUGCUCAAGCAGGGAAUUAAACUCCAAACCCCCAACACACCAACACAUAUCUUAACCACCAGACCAGCAGGCCCAUUCUGAUAUAGUUUAAUAAAUAAUUCAACAUAAGCCUGUUGAGCUAGCACAAGGCUUAAGUUAGAAAAAUACCAAAAUUUGCUAAAGGCAUGGCUUGAACUUGAGACCUCACACACACAUACCCAGAACAUUUAACCAUUGAAGCAGAUACUCAAUUGUAUCACAAAUUCACAAAAAAACAAAAAUAAGAAUUUUGGGGCGUUACACUCAUGUAUUCAUUAAUGGCAUUAUUCAAAAUCUUUAACAGUUUUGCAAAAUAGUCCCUAGGCUAGCUAGACCUAAUUGCAACUAUCUCAAAAACAUAGAAAUCAUUAAAAACGAAAUAAAAACGUACUUACAAUUGAGUAUCAAAGUAACCAAAAGUUUCAAGCCCUAAAAUGGCUUUUCUUCGUGCUUCAUUCGGCCAAGGAAGACAAUAAUGAAAUAAUUUUUUAUUUUGUUUUAUUUAAUUAACCUUAAUUGACAAAUUACUAAAUUAACCUUAAUGAUAAAACAUUUAUUAUAUCAUCCAUUUCAUGUCCAUUAAUGACCGCUUACUUUAAUAAUGGUCCAUUUAUCACUUAAGGACCUUCACAUUUAAUAUUCAUAGUCAUUUAGAGUAUUAGCAAAUAGAAUUCAACUUUUACGCUUUCCGCGAUUUAGUCUUUUUUACCGAAUUAAUUAUUCAAACGAUAAAAUUCCUUAACAAAAUUUUCACACAACUAUACUAUCAUGCCAUAGACGUUAAAAUAAUAAUAAAAUAGUUAUUUUAGCCUCAGAUUUGUGGUCCCGAAACCAUUGUUCUGAUUUGACUAAAAACAGACUGUUACAUAGGUAAAUCAAAGUAGAUGAGAAAUAUGGAGUCAAAUCAAGGAUGAAUUUAUAACUUUUAUAACUUUUCUUCAAAAUUUAACAAAAAGUAAAUAAAAAUAAUAUUUUUUUACUCCUAAAUUAAACAAUUAGAUUCACUUUGGUACUUUUAUCUUUUACAUCCAUUUUGAUAUCUAAAUUUAACAAUUAAAUAUAUUUCAAACUCUAACAGGGAAAACAUAAGAACACUAAAAUGGGUUCACUGUCUUCACUCCUAGACCUAAGAUUAUUUGUAUUCAAACGGUUAAUCAAACUGAAUUAGUAUUAACCAAAUUAACCAAACUUUUUAAUCAUUUAACCAUUAAUUGUACCAAUUUUUUUUCAAAAAAAUUAACCAUACCGAAAUAUUUCGGGUAAUUCAAUUGGUUAACUGAAAUUUAUGUUUUUUUUUGUUAAAACAAGUAUAAAAACAUAUCAAAAUAAAUAAAUUAAUAAUGUUCAUUUGACCGAAUUAACCGAAUUAGUAAGAGAUUGAUACAUAUAAUAUAUAAUAUUAUUUAUUAAGUUCGGUUAAUCACUCGAUUUCAAAUCGAAUUAACCGUUAACCGAAAUUUUAAAAAACUUUUAAUUACCUUUCAACAAAACUAAAUCGAUUAACUGAAUUAAAUCGGUUCAGUCAAUUAAUUCGAUUUUAAUCGAAAUUUGUAAACUAGAGAUUGAUAUAUUUGAUUAGGGAUGAGCAUUCGAUCGAGUUGAGUCGAAUCGAGUCAAAAAAUUUUGAGUUAGUCGAGUUGACGAAUCCUAUUUUAGCAACCGAAUUCAAUUUGAAUUUUUUUUCAAAUCAGAUCGAAUCGAGUCAAAAAAUUUCGAGUCGAGUUAACGAAUCUUAUUAUUUGUACUCAAUGUUGCGCUUUACAUGAACCGAUUAUUUAAAUAGGAAACGAAGUAUAAAAUUAUUUAACAACAUAAACAAUAUAAUGGUUUUGCAUUUUAACUUAAUUAGUAAACAUUUAUCAAAACAACAUAGUUUUACCUUUUUAAUUUAAUGGUUUUGACUUUUAACUUUAGAAAGGUAAACAUUCAUCAAAAUGACGUAGUUUUGCUUUUUUUUAUACGGAUUUUUGAAUAACUCGAAUUGUGUAAUUCACAUUCGAAUUAAACUAAAAAACUUUUUUUAUUCGAGUUGACCUAAAUAACUUGAUUAACUCAAAUAACUUAAAAUAUUUAAUUCAAAAUUUAAAAAUUUUAUCAAAUUUUUCGAAUCGAAUUAAAUUUUUCUCACUUCUAUAUUUGAUUGUGCAAGUCCAAAGGGUUGAAUAAAAGAAUCGGGACAUCUUUAUUGCUGAUGAUAAAAAAUUGGAAAUAGGGUGUGCGUGGCAAACAUUGCCCUGACGUAUAGAAUUAUUAUUUAAUAUGCCCUGACGUAUAGAAUUAUUAUUUAACAUCGCUUUUGUCAGCUUUAUGGAUAAUUUUUUCAAACCCAAAAAUACUGAAAUAAUGGAAAAUAAUUGCACCAAAUCCACUUAGAAAAUGCAUUAAUUGCUAAAGCUGUCAUAUGUACUCAAGGGGAAGAUCUUAAUACUAAAAUUUUUCAUAAUAUUAUUUUUUGAUAUAAUUUUUUAUUUAUAUAAUUAAUAUCAAUUUUUAUAAUAUUUAAAUUUAUAAAAAAAUUAUAUAAAUUUAAUUUUAAAAAAACUUAAUACUAACUUAUAUCCCUUUUAUAACUAUUUUAAUAUUGACAACUUUAUAAAAAACAAAGUGUAUAAAAGAUUAUUAGUUUUGUUAUACAUUUUAUAAUACAAUUAUUAUUAUGCUAAUAUUGCAAUAAAUGAUACCGUGUCAUUUUAAUUAAAGUAAAUAUCUAUUUUCAACAUAUUACAUAUGUUAAUUAAUUAUUAGUUUUAUUUUUUAAAAUUAAACUAAUAAUAAUAUUUUGAAAUAACUAUUUAGAGUAGAUAUUAAAUUAUUAAAGUAAACACGUAUUUUCAACAUUAAUAUAUUAUAUAAAAUAAAUAAUGUCAUAAAUAUAUGUGAAUUUUCAUGUAAAUUGUUACAUAAUAUUAUUAAAAAAAUUAAAUUUUCGUUAAUAUUAUCAUUAGAAAAAAUAAUUUAACUUAUUUUUUAAAGAUUGAUGAUAAAAUUUAACUAGAAUAAUAACAAAAUCAUAAUAAAUGUUAUUAAUAGCGGAAUUUGACAUUAUGCUAGGGAUACCACAAUAGGCAGCUUGCAAGUGAUCACAGGGUACUGCUCUUAAUCUACAUAAAAAUGCGAGAAAGGAAGUAGCAGAGGAAGAAGGUUAGUGAGAGAGAAUAAAACCCCAAACCAUUAUUAUGGCUGAAAUUAGCAGCUUAAGAAUCGAUCCCAAGAGUGGGUUUUGUUCUUCCAAUUCUACUUUCUACAGCAAACGCGUUCCCUUUCCACUUCCAUCCAACCAUGCCCUUGACAUCACCACUUUUAUCUCCUCUUACCCUCACCAUGGCAAAACCGCCUUCAUCGACGCCACUACCGGUCGCCACCUCUCCUUUUCCCAACUUUGGCAAUCAGUUGACUCCGUUUCCACAUGUCUGUCCGAAUUGGGUAUUCGGAAAGGAAACAUCGUCAUCAUCAUCGCACCAAACUCCAUUUUCAUACCCAUUGUUUGCCUCUCUGUGAUGUCUCUUGGAGCUAUUAUAACCACUAGCAACCCCCUCAACACGUCUCGUGAAUUCGCGGUACAAAUGGCUGAUUCAAAGCCCGUCCUCGUCUUCACCACUUCUCAAGUCGUCCCAAAAUUGGCUGGAUCACCUCUCCCCAUCGUACUUCUCGACGAGCAAGUGGCGACCGAAAAAACAGGCCAAGUCAAAAUAGUUACUACUAUUAGUGAAAUGUUAAAGAAGGAAACAAAGGACAAGAUCCGAGUGAGGGAUCGAGUGUACCAAGAUGACGCGGCAACUCUACUCUAUUCCUCGGGCACGACGGGUGCCAGCAAGGGAGUAAUAUCAUCUCACGGAAACCUCAUGGCUCUAAUGCAAAGUUUUUCACAUUUGAGCAAUCCAGACGAAGGGGAGCAAACCCAUAUCUGCGCCGUUCCCAUGUUCCACAUCUACGGCUUCGGAGCUUUUGCCAUCGGGAAACUCACGCAAGGAUCAAAAGUAGUUGUUUUAUCAAAGUUCGACAUGAAGGAAAUGCUGUCGGCAAUAGAGAAGUACCGUGUCACUUGCCUCCCCCUGGUGCCACCUAUACUCUUGGUAAUGGUGAAGGAAGCUGAUGAGAUACGAAAGAAGUACGAUUUGAGUUCGUUGCAAUCAAUAGUGUGCGGUGGCGCUCCGUUGAGCAAGGAUUUGAUAAAUAGGUUUAUGGAAAAGUUUCCAAGCAUUGAUAUUCGGCAAGGGUACGCGAUGACAGAAUCGACAGGAUUUGGCGCAUCAAUGCAAACGCCGGGGGAGUGUCUCAAGUAUGGCAGUGUAGGGUUGCUAUCGCCGAACUUGGAAGCCAAAAUUGUAGACCCUACAACUGGUACGGCCUUGAAGGUCAAUCAGAAAGGGGAGCUUUGGCUAAGGGGUCCCUCCAUUAUGAAAGGUACGUAAUUUAUGAUCAAUCAAUUUUAGGUGGAGACAGUGAGUGUGUCCCCAUAUUGCGUGUAUUCAAGACAAGUCCAAAUAAUUUUAUCAAAUGCAAAGAUCUUUGCUUUGAUUUUGUUUUCGGCAUGUUGUUAAUUUUUAAUCCCAGGAGAAAGAUCUUUGCAAUUAAGAAGAAUAAACAAGAUUUGCCUGGCGAGUCCCCGGGAAAGAAUAACACGAAAUCCACUUAAAAAAUGCAUUGCUGUUACAUCUAAUUAUGUAUUUUUCUAAUAUUGAUAAUUAUUUUAUUGAAUGUAUAUAUUUUGCUGACUAUUUAACCAUUUCAAUUUCAACUAUGGGAGUAAAUUAUUAAUAUUAAAAUUACAAAAUAAUUAUUUCAUUAUUUUUAAAAUGUUCAUAACCCCCUUAAAAUACCGUUUGAAACACAUGUAUAAUAUAUUUAAUAUCCACGUAAUUAUCAAAUGGUAUUUUAUAGAUUUUUAAAAUUUAAUAAUUAAAAUGUGAAUUUAUUAAUAAUUUAGUCACCUAAUUUGUAUUACUUCACUUAUAUUUAAUGAAAUUGAAUCCAAGUAGACUGAAAUUUCAAUUUAUCAAGAUAACAUAAGAAAAAUAUGGGAUUAUCCAAAGUUUAAACAUUAUGAGCUCAAGGGAAAGUUGUUGAAUCAUAUAUUCUAAUUUAGUAAUGAAAUCUUACAUCCCUAUCCAGAGCUUCCUAAAUUUUAUACUAACAAAAAAAUCAUAAUUUUUCUUAAUCUAAGCCCCCAAUCAGUAAUGAACUCUAAACUUAUAUAGUAGGAUUGAUAUAUGUAAUAUUUUAACAUGAAAUUUGGAUAUCCUGAAAAGUUAGAGAUGUGUGUUGUUGAUUGGUGGGCCUGCUGCUGCUGCUGCUGGUAUUUUAGGUUAUCUGAAUAAUGCAGAAGCCACAGCAGCUACUCUCGAUUCACAAGGAUGGUUAAAAACCGGUGAUCUUUGCUACAUCGAUGAUGAUGGCUACGUCUAUGUUGUUGAUAGGUUGAAGGAGCUGAUCAAAUACAAGGGAUAUCAGGUCACCGCAUAGUUCACAAUUUGCUUCAUAUAUUCUAUACAAAAUCACAGGUUAACCAUUUACACUUACAGGCUUUAUUUAUAUUUGUUUUAGGUUCCUCCUGCUGAAUUGGAGGCAUUGUUACUUUCUCACCCACAGAUUUCUGAUGCUGCUGUCAUACCGUAAGUUUAUAUAGAGCUGCUUCCACUUGAAACACCCUUUGUUGCACAAGAUUCAGAGAUAUUAUUUGGUUUGCGAUUAGGUUUCCGGAUGAAGAGGUUGGGCAGUAUCCCAUGGCGUAUGUGGUUAGAAAAAGUGGAAGCAAUAUAUCAGACACUGCACUCAUGGAUUUUGUAGCAAAACAAGUAAGCAAUUAUAUACAUACAUACAUACAUAUAAUAGUGUUUUAAACCCAAGAUUGCGAAUGGGUAUGAUGAUUUAGCUUAAGCUAUGAAAUGAACAAAAUAGGUUGCACCAUACAAGAGAAUUCGGAAAGUGGCAUUUGUAACUUCAAUACCCAAGAAUCCAUCUGGGAAGAUUCUAAGAAGGGAUAUCAUCAAGCUUGCAAUUUCCAAAAUUUGAGGGCAUCUCGUUUGCAGCUCUAUAAUAAUAAUAAUAAUAAGAUGAUGAAUGCAUUUCCAAAGUAAAGUUUCACUUCUUUGAUUGUUUCGGAGAUGGGAGUUUUUCAUUUCUCAUGUCUGGUUCAUCAAUGUGGUUCUCAAUAAUUUCAUUUUUAAAAUUUAAAUUUGUGUUGUCCUAAUAAAAGUUACAAUAUACUGUAUCAGCACUUAAUAUUUGUUGUUGUCUGGAAUAAAUUUUAAGUGGGACAAUGAUUGAUCUGAUAAAUUUGUUUAGCGUUAUCAUUGCUAUUCCCGUCUGUCCAAGGCAUUCAUUCGGCUUUAUGCUUUUUGUUUGAUCUGAUAAAUUACAUUAAAAAUAUUUUUGAUUGAUAUAAUAAUAUUUAGCUCCUAAAAUUAAGAUAUUCUAUCAAUAUAGUUUCAAUUUAAUAGAUUUAAUUUCGACAUUUAAUAAUAUAUAUUAAGGGUUAAAUUUGUUAAAUUUUUUAGAAUCAAGAUCAAAUUGACAAAAUAUGUAAAUAUUAAGGGUUAAAUAUGUUUAUAUACCAAUCAAAUUUGUGUACAAUUAACGAAAUAUAUUUACAAUAUAAUUGAUUACCUUUAAUUGCUCACUUUUAAAAUUGAUAAAGAUUAAAAUACUCCAAUCUUUUUAAAAAGAACUAAUUUACUUAAUUUUAAAAAUAAGAGGUAUUGGAAAGGUAUUUUUACCAAGAAAUUAUAGAGAUGUUGUUUAAAAUUUUUUAUGUUAUAGUUAUUCAAAAUUGCAUUCAAUUUCUAAGCCUCUUCUAUUUGUAUCCCUUAUUAUCAGAAAACAAAAUCCUUGCAUUAUGAUAAUGGCAUGAUUGGUACUCGGCCAUUUCGAAUUAUUUAGUUUCUCUAUCACAACACUGUGCUUCUUUUUAAUAAUAUAUUUUUAUAAUUUCAAAAUAUAUAUUUAUUAGUUAAUGAAAAUUGGUGUAAUUUAUAAUAAAAAAUUCAUUAAUUUUAAAAAAUAAUGGAAAGAAUAAAAUAAUAUUAAUAUGCUAUCAUAAUAAUUAAUAUUAUCACACUAAUUGUAACAUCCCUACCCGUAUCUGUCACCAGAACAGGGUACGAGGCAUUACUGGAGUUACAAAUUUAUUUAUCAGACAUUUUAUUUCAUCUAACAUUCAUAGUUGGGACCAAUCAAAAUCAAACAUAUUGCCCCCUAAACAUACUUAUUUUCCUUGUAUCAACGUAUAAAAAAUAAUCACAUAUUUACAUGUCAUGAUAAAUAUCAUUCUCUUGCCGUUUCUUCAUAAACAUAAAUCAGUUAAUUCAUUAUAUCAAUAUUUCAUGUACCAUCAACUCGUAUUUCCUUAUAUCACAUAAUUAGGUUUCAUGAACUUAUCUGGCUAAAUUGCAAAAAUACCAAGAUUCAGGGGCAUUUCGAUAAUUUUAUAUUUUCCUCGAUUUUUCAACCAAUCUUGACCUAAAUUAAUAAUUUCAUUCAAUUUAUAAAUUUAGACAAUAAAAUAAUUCAUUUCACUCAAUUUGGUCAUUUUUGAUAUUUUUACAAAAUUGACCCUAAAGUUUUACUUUUAUUCAAUUUAGUCCCGAGCCUAAAACAUGCAAUUUAACCACUUUAAUGUAACCCAUGAUAACUAAAUAUUCAUAUAUAUUUUCCUCCUCCUCUCCAUUCCACAUCCUUAAUAUAUAUAAUUCCACUAUUUUCUCAUAUGUUCAUAUCAAGCUGUCCACUUGAGUCAUAGUCACUAAAUUAUUUAUAUCUUGAGAUACAAAAUUCUAAAUUAAUAACCGCUUGAUGUUUCUGAAACUAGACUCAAAUAUAUUUCUACCAUAAAAAUUUCAGAAUUUAUAAUUUAGCCAGUAAGUACGGUAAAAUCUUCAAACUUACCCCUAUUCUACUGUUUAACAGCUUCGACCUUUCCUUACUAAAAAUUAAUUAUCUUUUAGUACAAAAUUUGGAUGAUGUUUCCGUUUGUUUCUAUUGAAAAUAGACUCAUUAAAUAUUUAAACAUAUAAAUUUAAUCCCCUAAUUAUUUUUAUCCAAUUUUUUUUAUGAUUUUCCAAAGUCAAAACAGAGGAACCAGAAAUUAUUCUGACCUUGUUUCAUAAAAUUUAUUAUAUCUCACAAUUUACAAUUCCAUUGCUUACACGUUUCUUCUAUGAAAAACUAGACUCAAUAAACUUUAAUUCCAUAUUUUAUUCAACCUCCAAUUUGAUUUCCACAAUUUUUGGUGAUUUUUUAAAGUUUAACUACUGCUGCUGUCCAAAACUGUUUUAGUGCAACAUAUUGAUUACUAAGUUUAUAACACUCUUAUUUCCAUUCUCUACAAUAUUUCCCACCAUUUUCUCUUAUUUCCUUUCACUAAUAUAUCAAGAACAUAGAACCUUAUAUAAGAAAACUUUACCUUAACAUUAUUUUCAUGCUUUUGAUAUUACCUUACAUGAGAAACUCUACUUAAAAAAUAUUGAUGAAGUCUUAAAGUUUUUACCUUGUCCUAUUGAUUUUAAUCUUUAAUUUGAUUUUUCUCUCUCCUCCAACUUCUAUUUCUUGAAUCCAACUUGAUAUUCUAACUCCCCUUAGUCUCCUUAACAUUUUUAUCUCUUGGUAGCUAUGGAAAUUCUUUUGAUUUCUAGGUGAAAAUGGUAAAUUUUUGGUGGAAGGACUAAUUUGUAAAGAAAGCAAAACUUUCUUUCUUCUCUUCUCUUCUAACGUGAAAUGCAUGGAAAGAUGAUGGAUGGUGUGUGUGGGGGGAAAUUUACUAAAAAAAUCCCUUUUAUUUCGUUAUUUACCAAGAUGGCCCGACUUUUUGAUUAUUUGCUGGAAAUGACCAUUUUCCCUAAAAGCGCGUUCACGUCAGUGCGAAGUCAGGGGACGUGUCAGCAAAACGCUCUCCCAGGGAAGCGUUUUGCCCCCAAGGGUCACAUGACCGUUUGAACUCCAAACUCCAACAGUCAAAAAAAAAUAUAAAAGGCCCCUCCCCCUUUCAUUUUUUCACACAAUAGUCCUUUCACAAUUCUCUUUAAAUUCUUUCUAAAUUCUCUCAAAUUUCUCUCCAAUUUCAUCAAAGCUGUCUCUAAUUUUUGCAAAAAAGCUUUGUUAAAAUUUAUUUUAAAGUAGUUUUAUUUUAUAGAUUACAAAAAUAUCCGAUCGUAUUAGCAAUGGCCGGAGAAUUAAUUUGUUUCGAUACGAAACAAAUUUCCGUCGAUCAAAUGACAAUGGUAAGUGAUAAGUUUAAUUAAUUUUUGAAUAGUAUUUAAUUUUUUUCAUUUAUGUAAUUUUAAUUAAUAUUUAUUUUAUAAUUUUUUUAUAACAGUCUGUAGAUCGGGUGUUGCAAUGCUAUAUCCGUAAUAUGUCUGGUCCUCCAUCGCCAUUGAUAGAGAAUUACCUGCGGGAAGCGGGUUUUUGGCACGUGGCCACGAUAGGCCGGGGGUGUAAGUUGGACUCGAAACUAAUCAGUGCAUUGAUAGAGAGGUGGAGACCCGAGACACACACUUUUCAUCUUCCAUGUUGAGAGUGUACUAUCACUCUAGAAGACGUGCAAUUGCAAUUGGGAUUGCCGGUCGAUGGAUACGAAGUCACUGGGUCCACUCAAUCUGCUGAUUGGGGGGCCAUAUUCUAUGAGCUUUUGGGUGCUAUUUCGGAUAAUAUUAAUAGAGGUAGGAUCGAGAUGGGCUGGUUACGAGACACAUUUUCGGAGCCGGAUAAUGAUUCGUCUGAAUUAGAAAGAAUACGAUAUGCUUGGGCAUACAUUCUUGAGAUGAUUGGAGGUUAUCUGAUGCAGGACUUGUCACGAAAUCACGUACAUCUGAGAUGGCUGUUGAAACUCGUUGAUUUUAGAGCAGUAGGUGAAUUAAGUUGGGGGUCUGCUGUGUUAGCAACAUUGUACCGGGAGAUGUGCGGGGCGACACGACCGAAUAAAGCCAAAAUCAGAGGAUGCCUAUCACUACUGCAAUCAUGAGCACGGUUUCGCUUUCCAUUUUUACGUCCUCGAGUGAACCACCCAUAUACAUUCCCACUAAUUGUAACAGCCCGAUUUUGGGCAUAGUCGGAACAGUGGUUUUGGGACCACUAUUUCGAGGCCAGAGAAAAUUAUUUUAGUAUUAUUUUAUGUGUUAUAAUAUAAUUUUAUAAGUGCAUGUAAAUUUUGGUAAGUUAAUUUUAGCGAUUUCUAGUCCAAUUUCGAAAAAAGACUAAAUCGCGUAAAAGGUAAAAGUUGUAUUUUAGUGCCUAAAGGUGUUAAUAGACUAGAGAACUAAAAUUGGAGGCCUUUAAAGGGCAAUUGGACCCUUUUAAUAAAAUAAAAAUAGGAUGAUAUCAUCCCUUUUUCAUCUUCUCUCCACCGAUUUUUCCAGCCAAGAAAUGGGUUUUGAAAGCUUCAUAUUUUCAGCAACUUUGAGGCUUAGCAAGUAAAUGAUUUUAAUGUCUUUCUUGAAGAUUUUUACAUUUUUGUAACCCCUAAAGCAUGAGCUUUCAUAAGAGGGGACUAUUGUGCAAAAUGAUGAAGAGUCUAGGGUUUUGCCAUAAGAGUAAAUGUGUGGUUUGUUGUGUUUUUAUGGAAGAUUAUGAGUUCUAGUUGUCUAAUAAACAACUUUUGUGAAAGAAAUUGCAUGAAAACACCCUAAAAAGGGCUAGAUUGCUAAGUUGUAAAAGGAGUUAUAAAUAUGUGAAAUAGUUGAAAUUAUGAGUUGCUAUAGUUAUGAAAAUGGUUCAUCUAGACUCAAGGAGUAAAGAAAUGUGAUAAAAAUUAUUUUACGAGCCUAGGGGUAAUUUGGUAAUUUUGGUAAAAUAUAGGGGCAAAAUUGUAAAAAUAGCCCAAGUGUGUCAAUGGACUAAUUUGAUCAGUACAUUGUUUUAAUAAGUUGAAUGUGAUGUUUUAGAUGAUGAAAAUCGAGAUUUGGACCUAGAACGGAAAUAAAUCGAUUAAGGGAUAAUUACGUCUUUUUUUUACCUUUGUGGUAUUGAGGUAAGUUCGUAUGUAAACAAUACCAUGUUAUACAUGUAUUUAAAUGUUAUCCUUACAUGAAUUGUACAAAUAUUAAUGUGUAUGUGAUUAAUAGAAAUAUGAUAAGACAGAGCCUUAAUAGACGAGGAAAAAUCCCGUUUGAACAUUUGGAAUAGAAUAGGAUACGAGUGACAUGUCACUAGGAAUUAUGAGUCUAGAUGACUAGCUCGAGAGUGAGCAUUGAAAUGUCAUAAGAUAUGAGGUAGCUUUAGCUACAAUUGAGGCACUUAUGUGCAAAGGCUUUUCCGAGUAUCCAAUUAGUAUUCCAAGUGUUCAACGGGUAAUCCAAGGAAAGAGUUGAUGAUGGUCCCAAUGAGGUAAGUCAUUGGUGAGUAUGCACUUGAGUUAUGUUACGAGUUGUGCAAGUAUGUAUACUAAGCCUAUGAGAAUGCCUUGAUAUGUGAUGAUCUAUGAUGCAUAAUAUGUGUUCUUACCAUGAUGGAUGAAAUGAUGUUGUAUUAAUUUUGUGAACAAUGAUCAUGAAUGAGUAACUUAGCCUUGACAGAUUUGAGUUACUGCAGUAGUGUAACUUUGAAAAUACACUAAAAAUAGCGGAAAAUGAGUUAGAGGCAGAAUAAAAUAUGGGAUUAAAUCUUAAUGAGUCUUUUUUCACAUGAAAGAAACAGGGGAAGAAAAAUAAUUCUAUAUUGUGUGAUAUUUGAAUUCUUGUAAAACAGGGUCUGAAUGAAUUCGAGAUCCCCUGUUCUGAUUUUAUAAAUUCACCAUAAAUUGUAAAAAAAUUAUUAAGAGUCAUAUCUUACAUGAAUGGAUUCCUUAUUAAGUCUAUUUUUACGCGAAAUAAACGGCAUGGUCAUUGGAAUUCUGUACAGGGAGAAAUUCAGUUCGUAGUGUAGAGGGGUCAGAGUAGUCAUACCCCGAAACAUGGAAUACUUUAACUAAUAAACUGUACUAAAUGGCUUGACCAAAAAUUUUGAAAAUUUUAUGGAAGAAAGAUAAAUGAGUUUAAUUUCAGGUAAAAUUUAUGGAACUUAAUUCGGAGUUUCGUAGCUCCAGAUAUAAAUAAUUUAGUGACUGUUGUGCAGGAAGACAGCUUGUCUUAAACUUGAGAAUAUGUUGUAAAAAUUGAUAAAACAAGUUAAUGAGUUGCUUAUUGUUUUCAUAUGAACUUACUAAGCGGAAGCUUACCCCCUUCUUUUCCAUGUUCUCUAGGGUUUCCAGGUUUGUUCGGGUUGGAGUUCGUCGGAGAUAUUAUCACAUUGUCAAGCUAAUGUUAUUGGUGUAGUGAUUUCAAGUACUUUGAGUCUAUGGCAUGUAUAGGAGUUUAAAUAUUAGAGUAUGUGAUAUGGCUUUGACCAUAUGUGUUGGCCUAUUUUGAUUAUGGGAUUAUAAAUUCAUUUUAAUUAUUUGAGAUUUCAUGGCUCUGUUUAGUAUAGAAGUGUUAGUAAAAGUUAGGUAGCACCUCGAACCCCGUCCCGGCGUCGGAUGCGGGCGAGAGGUGUUACACUAAUAACGAGGUAAAUUUUAUAUUAGAUUUUACAAUUAUUACAUAGAUUAAAAUAUAAUUGUAUGCUAAAAAAUUAUUUAAUUAGGUGGAACCAUUCGGCCAGUUAUAUUGGAAUACCCACAUCUCUUGAAGAUAUACAGCUUCUAUUAGACCAACGGUCGGAAGCACAAGUAAGUAUUAAAAUAAAAUAUAUAUAUACAUAAUAAAAUAGUUGUUUCGUAUUUAAUAUUUAGUAUUUAGUAUUUAGUAUUACCUAUAUAACUAAUAUUUUUAUCAUGUUCAUAUAGUUUCAAUGGACACCAUACGAGGAUCCGGCAAUUCGGGCAGUAAUUCGGGAUGAAUUUUUUUAAAAUCCGAACAUUUGGCAUGUGAAGUUCCCAUUGGUCAACUAUGCUAUCGUGGAGAUGCACCAGUCAGAUAGGGUAUUGCGGCAAUUUGGAUUCCGACAACUGAUUCCCGUGGAACCUGAGGUGCUCGAUGAUGAGCACAAAGUCGACUUACGGCUAUUGAAUACGGAUUGGCCGAGACACUGGUCAGGAUAUAUCGAAAUAUGGGAAAAUCAGUAUGACUAUAUAGCUACUCGAGAAUCGAUAAUCGUUCCUAAGUUAGCAUGCGUGCCAAAAUACAUGCCAUGGUUUAGGAUCCAUGGCAAGCCAUAUUUACUAUCGGAAGAGAAGAGGCGACGGCAAAUUCCUGUGCAAAGGAAACGACGAGACCCUUUAAAUCCAAGAAGAAGGGAUGAUGACGCGGGCCCAUCAGCAGCCUUUUCAGAUUAUGCUAGGUACGUAUCCUAGCCAUUAUAUGUAUCUUAACCCUUUUAUGUUUCCUUUUUUUAGUCCUAUGGCAGGUUGAAAUGCAUGGCCCGGUUCAUCUCCGUUCCUAAUUACUCCAAGUCAACCGUCGAUCAAUAGGCCACUGUCGCAAGAGGGAUCGCACGAGGCGCCGUCGGGGAGCUCUUCUUUUUACCAUUCCCCAUCGCCUUAUGGGAUUCAAACACCUUUACCAUGGGUGAUGCAAACACCUCCGCAUUCAUUAUUCUAUCAAGGUGGGUGAUCCUCCCAACACCCACAACCAAAUCCCCUACCGGAGGAACCACAAUCCCCACUGGAGCAACCACAACCCUCGCUGGAAGCUGAACUAAAAAGGAAUUCAGCGCGUAACCGUCGACGACCCCCAUGUGACACUGAUUUCUACCGACACCAACAUUGAUUUUUUUAAUAUAUUUGUAGAAACAUUUUUAUAUAGUUUUAUAUAAUAAAAUAAAAGUUGUUUUUAAUAUUUUAAUUGUACUUUACUUUUUUUAAUUUUAUUAAAAUAAAUGUUCUUUUAAAUUAGCCAAUAUUUUUAUUAUUUUUAUGUUUAUUUUUAUAUAGUUUUAAUUAAUAAAAUAAAUUUUUUUUAAUAUUUUAAUUGUACUUUAAUUUUUUUAAUUUUAUUAAAAUAAAUAUUCUUUUAAAUUGGCCAAUAUUUUUAUUAUUUUUAUAUUUAUUUUUAUAUAGUUUUAAUUAAUAAAAUAAAAGUUGUUUUUAAUAUUUUAAUUGUACUUUACUUUUUUUAAUUUUAAUACAAUAAAUGUUCUUUUAAAUUAGCCAAUAAUUUUUAUUAAAAUAAAUGUUAUUUUGAAUACAGCAAUAUUUUUAAUAUUUUUUAUAUUUUUAAUAAAAUAUAAAUAAUGCAAAAUAAUUUUAUUACAACAACUAUCAGGUAUUCCGAUUUGGACAUGAUCGAGUUAUAUGGCUUGGGUUCCUACACCAUCCGCACAACCUCUGUUGGUUCGUUGCUUCUCAGGUAUCCAUAUUGUUACAUAUUCUAGUUGAGCAAGGUCGACCCUUUGGUUUGCGAUGCAAUUCUCUAUCCGGUAACAACUUAAACGGAGAAAGCAGUACAGGCGGCCACUUACGUUCAUCUGUGAUCGGUGGGAAUACGUGUCUCCACAUAUUGUACAUGUAUUCUAUUUUGUACACUUGGUCAACAUACGUUAUGGGAUCCAGACGGAGAUUCUGACAAGCUGCAAUUACAUGAGUGCAUGGAUAACGUAGUGCGUCAAACACUCCACAGUUGCAUGUCUUAUUUCUCAAGUGUGCACGAUAUUGCCUAGCAAUAAUACCUUGGUUCGGUCUGUCAAACUCCGUCACACGAAACCAUAGGUUGUCGCGAUCAUGACACACUAUGUGCAUGGUGUUGGCUCGUGCCUUCGCCUUGUUAAUCUCUCGCAACACCUUCGCGUACCAUACAUGGCCUCCCUGCAUUUGGCCUUUAUAACUCGCUGCUCGCUUUGAAAAUAGUGCCGCUAAACGAAAAUAUGUCUCUCAUACAACGACUGUUAUGGAAAAAUGACACGUUCCUUUUAGAACAGAAUUUAUGCAUCCAGCCAAGUUUGAGGUCAUAUGAUCAUAUCGUAGGCCGCCGUUGUAUGCUUGUGUCCACUGUUCGAAAGGUAUGUUACAAAGGUAGUCUGCGCCUUCUUCGUUAACUAAACACAAAACCGCUAACUUUUCAUGAAAACGGUCAUUACAUAUCUCAUACCCUACCAAUAUAAGUUGAUAACGAAAAUUACAUACCACUCUUCCAUUCAGAAUAAAUUGAAUAUUACAAAUAAAAUUAUAUUAAUAGAGAUUAAAUACCCAUGUUGGUUACUUACCGUCGUUCAGUUGUAUAUCGAUAUUGCCCGUAGUAGUUGGACGCAACGUGCCUUAGGCAAUACUGAUGGUGUGUGCGAUGCCAUUGGCUUCCUUGUCGCUCAAUUGUGGCUUGUAUUCUAGUGCCCCGAUCUGAUAUAAUGCAUAUAUCAGGUUAGGGCCAGACAUGCUUCCUUAACCUAGAAAGAAAGAAAUCCAGUCAUCAGCUGACUCCCCCGAUGUUAUUGCAAAUGCAAUUGGAAUGAUUCUCCCACUGCUAUCUUGUGCCACAACUAGCAAUAGUCGAUGGGUAUAUCUACCAUACAUAAAGGUACCAUCAAUUUGUACCAAUGGUUUGCAGUAUAUAAUGUGUCCCGACAUUGCUUAAAGCUCUAGAACAGAUGCUUGAACACUUGGUAUGCACAGAGCAAUUGGUCGUUGUAGUACGCAGGUGCUGUUUCAAGGUCUGUUAUGCAACCUGGGACAUAUCUCUCCAUCACCUGACACCACUGCCAUACUUCAUUAUAUGAAGCGUCCCACCUACCAUGCAUCUUUUCCAACGCCUUCUGCUUAGCUAUCCAAACCUUGCGGUAAGAGGACGUGUACUUCAAUUGGCUACAAAUAUUAGCAAUUAAAACCGUCACUGAAGUCUUCGGAUCUGCCUUCAGCGUCGGUAGUAUUAAGCUAGCUAACAUAUCUGAAUCCAUCUUGGGAUGAUCUUGUGAAACGCAUGUCAAUGAAGUAUGUUAAAUAAUGUAACAUUACGUAAUAACAGUUUUAUUCAAAAACCUUAAACACCUAAUGAUACUUUACCGCCAACACAUGUAUAUGGACCUUUGUACUUUUUAAUCUCCCACAAGUUUGUCUUUUUCCUCAAUGAGGCCAUGCUUUUUCAUGAACAUGUACCGUCUUGCACUGCACACUUGGCCUCAAACUUAUCGGAUUUGAAUUUAACCACGUUGUAGUUAACCCCGUUCAUGAUGUUAUGUUGUUUCAAUGCAGCAAGAAAACUAUCCUUAUUGGAAAACUCCCUACCAACUUCAAUUUCACCCGAAUCUAAUGACGAACUUGUACGAUCACACCUUCUGUGUGGUAGAUCUAGAAACUCCAACGCAUCAUCUUGAAAUAGAUCGACAUUAUGCAUGUAGGCUGAAGGCGAGUACGCCCUGAAUUGCGGAUCUUCUUCAUCUUCAUCUGAACCCACUUCAACAUCUUCAAGUAUUGUUGGAACAGGCUCCGGUUGAGAAAAUAAUCCAACUUCUACACCAUCGGGGCCGGGCUCUCGAGGUGGAUCCACAUUGGAUUCAUCAUUCGACCCACCAUCAUCUGCAACGAACGAGGUCCCCUCGCCGGUGGAUGUUGUAGGGAGUACAUCAUCCCUUCUUCUAUAUGUUUCAUAAUGUCCUCAAUCCGAUGUGGAUUGCCAACCACUAGAAGUUGAUGUCAUUCCCCAGUAUGUAUUUCCAGUAUCAAACAUCGACCCACUAAGGUGCAUGUCUCAUCCACAAAAGGAGUGUCGUGCAGGGGUUGUGUAUUCCAUACUGCUACCAAACACGGGCGCUUCCGUGUUUUACCACCCACUAACGUAGUGUCAGGCAGGAGUCGUGUAUUCCUCUUGAACAGCAUUAAAUUUUGAAGUCGCAAAUGCAUCAUUUGGCGAUGAAAAUUGUACAUAUAACUCAAGAUAAGGUGAUCCACUAGCAAGAUAAGUCUGCACCAUUGCCUCCAAGCUAUGAGGACUUUUGAUGUCGAAUGAGACAUAUCUCAUGGGAUCAACCGAAGUACAAAAUCAAUACUUAAUAGACAAAACUUUCAUUGGCGUCGUUCCGAAGAUUUUACGCCUAAUUCUUUUACGAAGUUCUGUCAAAUCUAUGUUCUGGUUAAAAACCAGUCGCGCUAUGCUCUUCAAUAAAAAAAACAACGCUGUUUUCAGUGUCAUAGACCUCACCAUCAUAGAAAAUAACAGCACUAAUACGUUCACUAAUCUUCAGUUUCUAUUUUACUUUAGCCUCAAUUUCUCUUGUUGUAACUUAUGCAACCUGAGAAUGAAAUCUGGCUCAUUUAUAGUCUAAGGCGUUUUCAGAUACUACUGUAGCAAAAGAGUGUCCACGUGGGAGCUUUUUUCCGUAAUUUUGCUGACAGUGCAUCAUUCUUAAAGCAUUUUUGACACUAUUUGUUCAGAAACAUCUUCUCAAAAUUAUUUUUUCAAAUACUACUGUAGCAAAAUAGCAUCCAUGUGGGAGCUUUUUCCUGUAAUUUUACUGACAGUGCAUCAUUCUUGAAGCGUUUUUGACACUAUUUAUUCAGAAACAUCUUCUCAAAAUUAUUUUUUCAGAUACUACUGUAGCAAAAGAGCGUCCACGUGGAAGCUUUUUUCCGUAAUUAAUAGUUAAUUUAAUUAAUAAACCCUAAAAAAUCCUAAACCCUAAUUUAAUUAUUUUUUAAUUUAAUAGUUAAUUUAAUUAAUUAACCCUCAAGUCUAAUUAAAUUAAUUUUUUCCUUAAAAAAUACUAAAAUCCUAAACCCUAAAAACCAUAAACCACUAAACCGUAACCUUAAAAUAAUAAAAAAACCUUAACCCUAAAACCCCUAAACCCUAAUUUAAUUGAUUUUUUUUAAUUUCAUGGUUAAUUUAAUUAAUUAACCCUCAACUCUAAUUAAAUUAAUUUUUUCCUUAGAAAACACUAAAACCAUAAACCCUAAAAACCCUAAACCACUAAACAUUAACUUUAAAACAAUCAAAAACCCUAACCUUAAAAAACCCUAAACCCUAAUUUAAUUGAUUUUUUUUAAUUUCAUAGUUAAUUUAAUUAAUUAACCCUCAACUCUAAUUAAAUUAAUUUUUCCCUUAAAAAAUACUAAAACCCUAAACCCUAAAAACACUAAACCACUAAACCCUAACCCUAAAAAAAGGGUCAAAACGCUCCCCCAAUGAAGCGUUUUGCUGACACGUCCCCUAACUUCACGCCAACGUGGACACGCUUUUGGGGAAAAUAGUCCUUUUCGGUAAAUAAUCAAAAAAUCGGGCCAUUUCGAUAAAUAACGAAAUAAAAGGGCUUUUUUUUAGUAAAUUGCCCGUGUGUGUGUUGUUUUUUUUUCCACACACACAUAUAUAUAUACUAAAUAAAAUAAAAAAAUAAUCAUAAAUAUCUUAUUAAAAUAUUAAUAAAAUAAUAUUUAUCUAAUUAAUUAAUUUAAAAUAUCAUCAACAUAAUCAUUACAUUCUAGAAUUCCCUCUCUUACUAAGUGACCAUUUUGCCCUUCAUAAUCUUUUAAAAUUCCAUCAUUGAGUCAUCACUUAAUUUGGGAAAAUUAUGAUUUAGUCCCUCAUAAUUCUUCACCUAUUCGAUUUGUUCCUAAUUCAUCUAUUUUCCUUAGUUUCUAGUUUAUUCCACCCCUAAAAUAUUUGCACUAUUGGUCCUUCAAAUUUUUCAUAUUUACACUUUAACCCCUCAAAUUUUGAGUAUUUACUCUUGGGCAACAAAACUUUUCUUACUUUUACAAUUUAGUCCUUUCUUUAAUUAAUAAUGUAAUAUAUCAUAAUAUACUUCCCAAUGUUGACAUAAUAAAAUUUCCCUUUUUGUCACUUUAUUUCCUUACUUAACUACAUCAAGGAUAAUAUCUUACUUUCUUACUGUAGUAAUUUUCAGGGUAUUACAUUUUUCUCCCCCUUAAAAAAAAAUUUGUCCUCGAAAUUUCCUUGUUUUCUUUUGAUCAUAAACUUCAUUAUAUUCUAUAGUUCCUUUCUGUAUAUAUAUCUAGUUUAUCAUUUAUAUCCAUUCUCAAUCCAUUCGUUUCACAAUUUAUUUUUAAUUCAAAGAUAAUUCCUUACCUUGUAACAAAAAUUAUUUAACUUUCUAACAGAGGCGCAGUAAAUUGAACUGAACAAUUUGGAUAUAAGGAACUGAUACAGAGGUGCAUUAUUAUGCACUAUUAAACAGAGAGUACUGAAGUGCUAUACAGAGAGCAUAGAUGUGCUAAGCGGAGAGCACUAAUGUGCUAAUAAUCAGAGAGCACUAACGUACUAAUAAUCAGAUAGCGCGCUAGAGUUCCUUAAUGUCAUGCCACUAAUAUCCUAGUAGUUCUAAAUUUCGUCUACUUCAGCAUUAAAACUGAAUUUCAUACAUUUAAAUACUUUACAAUUUAAUCCUUGUACCAAUAAUCCAUACAUUUAUAUAUUCUCUAUCUUUGAUACAUGUAAUAUAUUUCAAAAUUCACUAGUCGUUCGUAAUUUACUAAUAAUUCUCAUCAUGUACUUCAUAUAUCACUUUUCAAUUCCAAUUUCACUUUCAUUUUAUUCACAACUCAAUUUAAUUUCACUUUCUCAUCAAUAUACAAUUAAACACUAAUAUUUAUCCAUCACUCAAUUCAAUUUCCAUUCAAUUCAACAAUAACACUUACCUUCUACUUCACUUACCAUACACAUAAUUUAAAUUUAACAUUUAAUAAUAAUUAAUUUGAAUUGUAGUAAUACAACCAUACGCUGAAUAUGUCUAUAUUCAGUGGUAUUACCAUAAUUCAAAUUAUAAAAACUAUAAUAAAUAAUAGACAUCAAACAUGUAACAUUAUAAGUCAUAUGUGUUAAUUUAUGCUUUAAUUUCAUAUCUCAACAAUAGUCUUUCAUCAAAUGGCAUCAUAUAUAAUCUAUAUUAUCUUUAAUCAAAUCAUGAACCUUUGGUUCAAGCUUUCAAUCACAUAUCUCAAUUUCAAUUCACAUUUCAAUUCAUAAUUCCACUUUUUCAUACUUUCAAUAGUUCAAUCGAUCAAAUUCAUUCAAUUUUCUCAUUUCAUUUAUUCAACUGAUUUCAAUAUCAACAAUUUGAUAUUUUAGCAAAUUCAUGAACCUUAGGUUUAUGCUUCAAAUCUCACAUCUCAAUUCAAUUCACAAUUCAACUCAUAAUUUCUUUCUCAUAUUUUUAAUAGUACGAUCAAUCAAAUUUAUUUAAUUUUCUCAUUUCAGUUAUUCACCCUAUUAACAAACUUGGACUUUGACGGAUACAAGGAUUCCAAUCCAAACACACCAGUACGACACAUUGUACCGAAAAUGGUACAUAGUACCUGAUCAGUAUAGGACACAUAAGUGCAUGAAACGACACACGAGGUGCCUGAUACGACACACGAGAUGCUUGAAAUACGACACACGAGGUGCCUAAAAUAUGACACAUAAAGUGCCUGAUCGGCAAAACCGAUAAAUCCCGUACUCUUCCAAAUCCUAUGGCAUGCCAAUUAUAUCCGACUAGCCUGACAAGUUAAUAGGGUAUUCAAUUUUCAUUUGAAUUUCACUUAAUAUUCAUAUUUACCCCUAUUAACAAGACUCGGACUUUGACGGAUACACGGAUUCCAACCAAACACACCAGUACGGCACUUAGUGCCUCAUCGGCUUUGCCGAAGUAAACAGUAACAGUACAGUACUUAGUACCUUAUCGAAUUAAACCCAUGUAACAGUAGCAGUAUGACACACAUGGUGCCUCAUCGACUAGAUGUUGAAGUAACAGUACGACACUUAUAGUGCCUCAUCGACUCAAGGUCGAAGUAUCCCUGAAUACUUCCAAUCCUAUAGCAUGCCAACUAUAUUCGACUUAGCCCGGUACAGUUAAUAGGGUAUUCAAUUCACUUUCCGGUUUCCAAUCAAAACACAUUUCAAUUAAUCACAUAUAUUCUCAAUUCAAUACAAUUCAAUUUACUUUUCAAUAACAAAUAUUCUAAUUUCGUAAUAAUCACAUAUUCAUAUCAAUUUUAUCACUUUCCCAAUCAAUAAAAUUUUCAAAUAUAACAUAUAUCCAAUAUUCUAUUUCCACAUCAAUCACAUAUAUCUAUACAAAUUCAAUUCAAUAUUGAUACUUACCUUAAAAUUUUACUUACUAUACACAUAAAUUUAAAUAUAACAUUUAUUCAUACCUUUAUGAAUUCCGAGUCAUCAUAAUCAACUUUUACUCAUAUACUUGAGUAUCGCUUUCAACAUUAUCAGAAUUAGCUCGGUUAGGAAAGCAUCUCUAUCUUUAAGUAAAACAAAUCUCAUCAGAGUCGGAAGAUAUCAUAUUAUCACAGGUUAUAUAAUGACAUGUAUUUCUAGACUUCACAUAUGUUACGUUACGUCUGAGAACCGACUAAACCGUAGCUCUGAUACUAAUAAAUGUAACACCCCCUACUUGUAUCCGUCACCAGAAUAGGGUACGAGGCAUUACCGGAGUUACAAAUUUAUUUAUCAGACAUUUUAUUUCAUCUAACAUUCAUAUUUGGUACCAAUCAAAAUCAAACAUAUUACCCCCUAAACAUACUUAUUUUCCUUGUAUCAACAUAUCAAAGAUAAUCACAUAUUUACAUGUCAUGAUAAAUAUCAUUCUCUUGCCAUUUCUUCAUAAACAUAAAUCAGCUAACUCAUUAUAUCAAUAUUUCAUGUACCAUCAACUCGUAUUUCCUUAUAUCACAUAAUUAGGUUUCACAAACUUAUCUGGCUAAAUUGCAAAAAUACCAAGAUUCAGGGGUAUUUCAGUAAUUUUAUAUUUUCCUCGAUUUUUCAACCAAUCUUGAUCUAAAUUAAUAAUUUCAUUCAAUUUAUUAAUUUAGACAAUAAAAUAAUUCAUUUCACUCAGUUUGGUCAUUUUUUAUAUUUUUACAAAAUUGCCCCUAAAGUUUUACUUUUAUUCAAUUUAGUCCCCGAGCCUAAAACAUGCAAUUUAACCACUUUAAUGUAAUCCAUGCUAACUAAAUAUUCAUAUAUAUUUUCCUCCUCCUCCUCUCCAUUCCACAUCCUUAAUGUAUAUAUAAUUCUACUAUUUUCUCAUAUGCUCAUAUCAAGCUGUCCACUUGAGUCAUAGUCACUAAAUUAUUUAUAUCAUGAGCUACAGAAUUCUAAAUUAAGAACCCCUUGAUGUUUCUGAAACUAUACGCAAAUAUAUUUCUACCAUAAAAAUUUCAGAAAUUAUAAUUUAGCCAUUAAGUACAGUAAAAUCUUCAAACUUACCCCUAUUCUGCUGUUUAACAGCUUCGACCUUUCCUUUCUAAAAAUUAAUUAUCUUUUAGUAAAGAAUUUGGAUGAUGUUUCUGUUUGUUUCUCUUAAAAAUAGACUCAUUAAAGAUUUAAAAAUAUAAAUUUAAGACCCUAAUUAUUUUUCUCAAAUUUUUUUUAUGAUUUUCCAAAAUCAAAACAGAGGAACCCGAAAUUAUUCUAACAUUGUCUCAUAAAAUUUAUUAUAUCUCACAAUUUACAAUUCCAUUACUUAAACCGUUUCUUCUAUGAAAAACUAGACUCAAUAAACUUUAAUUUCAUAUUUUAUUCAACCUCUAAUUUGAUUUCCAAUUUUUUUUUUGUGAUUUUUCAAAUUUUAACUACUGCUGUUGUCCAAAACUAUUUUAGUGCAACAUAUUGAUUACCAAGUUUAUAACACCCUUAUUUCCAUUCUCUAUAAUAUUUCCCACCAUUUUCUCUUAUUUUCUUUCACUAAUAUAUCAAGAACAUAGAACCUUAUAUAAGAAAACUCUACCUUAACAUCAUUUUCAUGCUUUUGAUAUUACCUUACAUGAGAAACUCUACUUAAAAAAUAUUGAAGUCUUAAAGUUCUUACCUUGUCCUAUUGAUUUCAAUCUUUAACUUGAUUUUUCUCUCUCCUCCAACUUCUAUUUCUUGAAUCCAACUUGAUAUUUUAACUCCCCUUAGUCUCCUUAACAUUUUUCUCUCUUGGCAGCAAUGGAAAUUCUUUUGAUUUUUAGGUGAAAAUGGUGAAUUUUUUGUGGAAGGACUAAUUUGUAAAGAAAACAAAACUUUCUUUAUUCUCUUGUCUUCUAACGUAAAAUGCAUGGAAAGAUGAUGGAUGGUGUGUGUGUGUUGUUUUUUUUUCCACACACACAUAUAUAUACUAAAUAAAAUAAUAAAAUAAUCAUAAAUAUCUUAUUAAAAUAUUAAUAAAAUAAUAUUUAUCUAAUUAAUUAAUUUAAAAUAUCACCAACAUAAUCAUUACAUUCUAUAAUUCUCUCUCUUACUAAUUGACCAUUUUGCCCUUCAUAAUCUUUUAAAAUUCUAUCAUUGAGUCAUCACUUAAUUUGGAAAAAUUACGAUAUAGUCCCUCAUAAUUUUUCACCUAUUUGAUUUGGUCCUAAUUCAUCCAUUUUCCUUAGUUUCUAGAUUAUUCCACCCCUAAAAUGUUUGCACUAUUGGUCCUUCAAAUUUUUUAUAUUUACACUUUAACCCCUUAAAUUUUGAGUAUGUACUCUUGGGCAACAAAACUUUUCUUAUUUUUACAAUUUAGUCCUUUCUUUAAUUAAUAAUGUAAUAUAUCAUAAUAUACUUCCCAAUGUUGACAUAAUAAAAUUUCCCUUUUUAUCCCUUUAUUUUCUUAGUUAACUAUAUCAAAGAUAAUAUCUUAUUUUUUUAUUGUAAUAAUUUUCAGAGUAUUACAGUAAUAAAUUAUUUUUUUAGCAAAUAAAGCCUCAAAAUAAUUACAUUAUUAUUUCAGGAUUAUUAUGAAUAAACUUACUAUCAAAUCCACAGCUUCAUGCGCAACAAUCUAGGAGAGGUUUUGUUAGAGAUCCUCCAUGUGCAAGUUGUAGGCAUGUUGAAGAGUCUAUUAUUUAUGUUUUGCGAAGUUGUGCCAAUACAAGAGAAAUGUGGUAGUCCCUUUAAGGAUUUGGGGGGAAUUUCUUUAUACUCCAUUGCCAGAGUAGAUCUCGUUGAUUUAAAAAAAAUUAUUAUUUUAAAGUUUAUUUUAUAUACUAUAGAUUAAUUGAUGCAUUAUUUUUCACUUAAAAUAUAAUUUUUUAACUAAUUGAAUUUUAGCUCUAUUAACGUAUGUAUUUAUUAACUGGGAUUACAUUAAAUUUAAGAAAAAAAAGAAAAAGAAAAAAGAGAGAGGAUGUCAUUGAAGUCGGUAUAGAUAAUUACAAAAGCAUUACAAUCAUGACUUAAAGACGUGAGCUUUUAAAAUUAUAUCUAUGAGUUGAUAAGACUUAUUCAAAUAUCUAAUUUGUCGCCUUCUUCCCAUCUCCCUUAUCCAAUUAUAUUUAAUGGUUUUUCCAUUUUUAAUUCCUACAUCCCUUAGAACUAUUAAGUGUAACAUAAAAAAUUAAAUGGGUAAAAUCAUAAACCGGCCACUUGUCCGUGGGCCUCCACUCCAAGUAACGUAUCCCGGGAAAGCGACGAAAAUAAAGUGGAGGAUAAGUUAUACCGAAGCCGAGGCCAUGGGGGCCCUCCACAAUCUCGAACCCUCCUCCUUAUUCACGACGUAAUUCGACACCUUUCUCCAACAAUCGUCUCUUUGUAUGGGCCCCAUUCACAGACCAUCGGGUCCCGCUAUCCACGUGUCACUAUUCCAGUGGUACCAUGCUCUCAUGAUAGUGCCACACUGAUUUUUUAAUUUCUUUUUCGUCUUUUGACUCUUAUUUCACACCAAUAAAGCAUAUCUUCACUCGCUUUCUUUGCUUGACACGUAGGAUCAAGGACAGGUGUCGAGUAGAGAAAGCGAGUAAGGUAGAAUCAAUUAGGGGUGCCAGAGUAGUGUUGUUAAGACAUAUUUCUCAAAGUUUAAUGCAGAGCUCGGUUACAUGGCGCUGGAUUGCCCAUCCCAUUUAAAUUGCGUUAAUUUUUUAAUGUUUUCUCUUUUCCCUAAACUGCGUCAGAUCCGUGUUUGAAAAUACUAUAAAAACCCAGUUCCUCUCGUUUCUUAAAAUCCAUCAAUCUGUGUAGCCAACUUUGUACGUACAAGUGAAGUGAUCCACAAUCUUGAUACGGUAAUACGUUAGGUAGCUUUCAGCAUACUUGUUUUGAGUUUAGUGGUUGUAGAUAAAGAAAAAAUGGCUGAGGAGCAUACCAAGGUUGGUGGUGAGGAAGCAGUGGAGAGCAAGGAGCGAGGGAUGUUUGAUUUCUUGGGGAAGAAAGAAGAUGAGAAGCCUCAACCUCAAGAGGAGGUGGUCGCCACCCAGUUUGAGAAAGUCAAGAUAGAAGAGGAACAUAAGGAAGAUGAGAAGAAACACAGUCUCCUGGACAAGCUUCACCUAUCCAAUAGCAGCUCCAGCUCUGUAAUUACUUUUUUUUACUUCCUUGCUUACUAUUCAUAGUUCAAACAGUCAAAUCUUUUUCAUAUAUAUUAUAACAUGCGUUGUAUGAAUGUUCAGUCUAGUGACGAGGAAGAAGGUGAAGGCGGAGAGAAGAUGAAGAAGAAGAAAAAGGAGAAGGGAAAGAAAGAACAGGACAGUGCAGUCCCAGUGGAGAAGUGCGAUGAGGCAGCAACAGUUCACCACUCAGAGACGCCGAAAAAGAAGGGUUUCAUGGAUAAGAUCAAAGACAAACUCCCAGGACAGCAUAAGAAAGAUGAAGAGGACACCACCCAACCACCAGCUGCUGCUGCCCCAACUGAGAACGACCACCAUGAAGGAGAGACAAAAGAGAAGAAGGGAUUUUUGGUGAAAAUCAAGGAGAAAAUUCCUGGUUACCACUCCAAAACAGAGGACGAGAAGGAAAAAGAGACCA
This 54431-nucleotide long non-coding RNA is filed under the name Gossypium barbadense (sea-island cotton). RNAcentral describes it as "long non-coding RNA (GBAR_LNC000304)". The record is from RNAcentral. Lineage: Eukaryota; Viridiplantae; Streptophyta; Magnoliopsida; Malvales; Malvaceae.